GGGCUGCUACAAUAACACACCAUCACAUUUAUCAACCAUAACAUAUAUAGAUAAACUAGUACAACGUGUGGCAGCCAAGUGAGAACCCUAGCUCGGUAGCUACAUCUUCUGCUAGCAUUACAAGAACUUUGAGCUGAUCACCCAGCACGUUGUUCUAGACCCAGCAAUGAACACCCCCACAAACCAGAAAAACACACUAAUUAAGACUACAAAUUAGACCUAAUGAAAGAUUUCAAACAGACCACUAAAACCAGAUACAAGUAGCAGACCUGGUGCAGCUAGCCAAACUAGUCUCUGAGUCAUGGGACUGAGCCACCAGUAGAAAGAACAGCAGGGAUAGUGGGGAGGACUGGGGCACAGCAGGGAGAGUGCCGGGUAGUUGAUCGAUGAGUGUCGGUGAUCUCCAUCAUAGUCACUUGCUUACACUGCGCAGGAGGGUUGCUGCUGUGCUGUGCCCUUUAUCAAACAGAUGAUAGGCAACUCUUGCACAACGCCAUCCAGCUUUUUGCAGAGGUCAACAUAUUUCACUCAGAUGGAGGAUUCCGACAUUGCGGGGGUCAAUUGACCACCUUUGCACUAACGUGGGUCUGCCCCUGGUAGCAUCACUACUGAUCUUCAACUUCUUCUUGCUGCUAACAGCAUCACCAAUUGAUCUUUUCCUAUUUGCCAUAAUUUCAUUGAACUUGGCUUUCAAGUCCCGCUGAGCUUCUUCCAACAGCGCACACAAUGAAUGAAUGACAUCGUCGUGAAUAUUGAUCUGUAUAGUAUGUAAAAUUUUACGGUGCCUGAAAAGGACAUCAAAAUCAUGAACGGUAAAUUCAAAACAGAUCAUAUGUACUUAUCCUCUGCUACAAUUGCACUAGGGGAUGCAUGUGAAGGUGGUGCACCAUGAUCCAAUCCCUCAUCCUCCAUGUUUUCUUCCUGCACGUUCGGGUCAAUGCCCAGAGAUGCAUCAGUACCAGUUGGUGCACCAUGAUCCCAUCUCUCAUCCUCCACGUUCUCAUCCUGCGGGUUAGAACGUGCGGCUAUACUAUUGAAAUAUAAUCACGCGUAUAGCCGCUAGGCUAUGCUCCGUGUUUCUUUAAAAAUUUUUAUUCAAAUUAAUCGUAUAGCCGGCCGGCCAUACUCGGUGUUUUUAAAUGUCUUUUCCAAUUAAUAGUAUAGCCGCACGGCUAUACUAUUUUUGGGUCUAUUUUUUAUAAAUAAAUAGUACACCCGCUCCCCUACUUUUAAACAUAAUAUAUUAAAAGAAUAUAGAACGGCUAUACGUGUUUUUAAAUUUUUCCUUAAAUUAAUAAUAUAGCCGCGCGGCUAUAUCGUUUAAUAUAUUAUAUUCAAAAAGUAUAGCCGCCCGGCUAUACUAGGGUCCCUAUUUUUUUAAAUUAAAAAAAAAUAAAUAAACAGUGGAAUGAUGUUUUUAAUCUUUUUUCUUUAAAUAAAAGGCCAAAUUACACUUUCUGGUUGUGUGAACUGUACUAUUCAUUGACUUUGCAUUUUCAGUCUCUGUUCUUGUAAUAUUGGAAAUAUUAGUUCUGUAGUUUUGUUCAUGUCAAAAUCUCAGGGAAGAUGGGCAAAUGUAAGAUGUUAAUUUUUAAUUUCACAUGUAACAGAAUUUCACCUCCAGCCGAUAUGUUAAACAAGUAAGUGGGUCCAAAUGUAAUGUGAGAAGUAGUUCUUCGAAUAAGGCUCAUGGUCACGGGACAAAGCGAUUAGCAAGAAACUAGUGAAGUGAGGUGACUCUUCUUCUUCAUUUCUAGGGCUGCUACAAUAACACACCAUCACAUUUAUCAACCAUAACAUAUAUAUAUAUAUAUAUAUAUAUAUAUAUAGAUAAACUAGUACAACGUGUGGCAGCCAAGUGAGAACCCUAUAUCCGUAGCUACAUCUUCUGCUAGCAUUACAAGAACUUAGAGCAUGUUGUUCUAGACCCAGCACUGAACACACCCACAAACCAGAAAAGCACACUAAUUAAGACUAAACCAAACACAAAUUAAGACCUAAUGAAAGAUUUCAAACAGAUCAUUAAAACCAGAUACAAGUAGCAGACCCUGGUGCAGCUAGCCAAACUGGUCUCUGAGUCAUGGUGUAAAUGGGACUGAGCCACCAGCAGAAGGAACAGCAGGGAUAGUGGGGAGGACUGGGACUGGAACACAGCCUCCAGGGAGAGUGCAGAGGCCUGAUGGUCCAAAGCUAACCCCAGUAACAAACCCUGGAGGGCCUGGGAAGAUGCCUCCUGCAGCUCCUCCAUAGAAGUUCUGAGGCUCAUCAACGCCCUCUCCAUUCUCAUCAUGACUCUUGAUCCGCCUUCCUCCUUCAACAUGCAAUGCAGCAACCACUAGGAUAGUGGUCAGGAUCAGCAUCACCUUAUUCACUCUCUCCAUGCUGACCUUUUGCUGCUUUGAGCUCUCUCUCUCUCUCUCUCUCUCUCUCUCUCUACAGUUUUGAGUCACACUCUAAAAUUUGUUACAGGGGUGAAGGAAGAUCAUGACAAACCCACCCUCCUUCUUAUAGUACAAAAGAUCUCCAUUUCAGGAUAAUCAAAAUAACCCUUUUCUCUUAAUUACCAUACAUGGAAUAGGGAUGCUUGCCUUGCUAAAUGCAGUGGUUUAACUUAUGGGACUUCAAUUAAUUCAAGGUCAUUUUGGAAAAUUCAAGUGACUGAUAUUUAACCAUGGUAAAAAUGACACUAACUAACCAUUUUUCAGUGAAGUUAUUAUUAGGUGUAGGUGGGGAGAUGCCAACUGACCAUCCCUCCUCCAUCCCUCUAGUGGGAUUUUAUGGCAUUGUUGUAGAAUUUAUGGUGGUACCUAACACAAACUGAGAUGGGUAAGAGCCCUUAAAUCCCAAGACAUUGGCAUAUUCCUUGCACUUUAUUACCUCUGCAGUUUAAUCUACUGACCUGCUUUAAUUCAUAAACCUACCACACUGAGAACAGAUGUGACUUGGCAGAAAGAGGGAAAAUUUUAAUAUUCAAUUUCACUGAAUUCAGUCUUUGACAAGUUGGGUUGGACCAACAAAUUAGUUUAGUUACUUUAGUACAAUUCUUUUGGUUACACAUGGUAUUAUUAAUUCAUUUGUUUUAAUUAUUUAUAUGAAGAUGUUGAUUGCCACAUGGUUGAAAGUUCAAACUUAAUGCAUAGGUUUGCGAUUGGAGUGUUUAUUAAAAAUUAAACACAAAAAGCUUACUAAUAAACAAGUUUAAUGAAUCAAUUUCAUACAAUUAUGUGUGUGUGACCAGCAAAACAAAGCUCCAAUUUGAUCACGGAGCCAAUAAAUCCCUAUAUAUGUGUUCUAGUUCACAACCUUGCAGUUGUUCCUGAUCUCACCUUGCCUUCCUGUGAGGACAUCAAUGGAGCCCAUUUUCACCAUGGCUGCUGCAAACUUAUUAGCCCAAGCUGCACCAAAUCUGGCAUUGUUCCUCACAAUCCCGGCUGUCGAACGGCUGGUAAGAAGAGUUUGAUCUGAUGUAAGCAGGCCAUGAUGGUUCUUCAAAUCAGUAUAGUACUUGUUGUCAAGCCUAUUUGGUGUAAGAACAUCAAGUGGCACCGUAACUCGAUCAUUGUUUGAUGAUCGAGGGCACUUCUUUUUCAAGUUUCGAGCAAAAAUGGGAUCCAUUGAAGGGUCUUGUGGAUGAGUAGCAUUGAAGAAAUACAAGCGAUCAGAGAAGGAAGAACAAUGUGACACGCCAAUAGAAUGUGCCCCAGAUAAUGUGACCAUUUCAUCCAAGCUAAGGCCUUUUCGGGCGAAACUAUCCUCAAGUUGCUUGGCGUUGAAGGAAGGUGGGGGGAGGUGCUGCGUAGGCUCAUCUUGGAGGGAAACUCUUCCAUCUCGCCGCCCCGAAGGCACGUCAUAAUUUAUCCCACCAACUUUGAGUGCACUGUCACGAGCAGCAAAUGCAAGGAUGUCAGCACAUGACACGGUUUUGGGGCAUUUAGCUUCAAUCUCGGCCUUGGCCUCAUCGAUCACUUCAAAGCCUCUCAAGCUCGGAUUGUUUGCUGGAUGUUCUUUUUCGGAUGGUUGUCCAGGAGUUGAAUCAAGUAGGAUAGAGGCAUCACAACCCUGAAACAAUAAAGAACAUAUAUGUUAGUUGUGAUUAAUUAUUAGUUCUAAUAUACUUAAUUAUAAAAUGUAGAAUAUUAUUCAUGCAUGUGAAUGAAGCUUACCCUAACAAAGCAAUCAUGGAAAUGCAUUCUGAUGAGGCCAGCAGCUAUGCCUGGAUUCUUUGCCACAGCUUUGUUCACAGCUUUUCUCACAAUUGCCUCUGCAGAAGGACAACUCCGUUGAUAGAAACCGACUUUCGGAGCUGCUGAUGCCAUGAAGACCACCAUAAACAUGGCCAAAAAGAAUAUCAAACUCAUUUUUAACGUUGCGGCACUCAUUUUCAACACUUAAAUUGGAUCAAAUGAAUAUUGUACUGAAAGAUAAAAUUAUAUGAAAAAAGAUGAGGAAGUGAGCUGUGGAGAGACGGAGAUGAUGGAAAUAGCUGGUCUUAAUUGCAUAUUUAUAGUUUAAUUAAGAAGAAUGGUGAAGUAUGGAUUUGGUAAAACGUGUGUAGCUAUAGCUAGCUGCAUAGCACAAACUUGACGCUGUCGAAGUUUGAACAGUUCCAUUUGAAACCUGCAUGGUUGGAACUUUCAAUGUUAAUAUUUUUUUUUUCUUUUUUUUGAAAGAUGUCAACUGGCAAUGAAGAGGAUGAUUAGGAAACUUCCCAAGCACCACUUGCAAAUCACAAAUAAUACUCAUAGUUAACACAAAGAUUAUAGCAAAAAGAAACAAGCUUGGUGAGAAAUUAAAAACCAUCAAAGAACUAGAUUUGGUGUUUGACCAAUGCUUCAAUCAAAUGAUAUCUUGUUGAAACGAGCAAAAGCAAAUAAAAUAUUUAUAUCCUGACUAAGUCAAUGGCAUUGCAUUGCAGGCCUCCCUUUCUGUUCAUUGGUGAUGACUAAGUAAGCCAAGCAACCCAGAAAACAAAACAAAUAUAUUUAAUAUAAAAAAAAGUUGGUAAGCGACCAAGCAAGUAUGACAAAGACAGCCAUGGCAUUAGAUUAGAUGUUAACCCUUCUUUUGUUUUGAGGGACACAUUCUUAUCAGAUUUAAAUUUCAAUGACACGAGCCUGGUACUGAAAAUGUUCACAUGCAUCAUAAACAUGAACUGAUUAAGCGAGUUUGAAUUGGACCAAGCCAUUUGAGUUCAGUCUCAGGAAUUGGACUCAUUCAUGCACAAAUAUUGUGUUGGUUGAAAUAUAAAAGAUUCCAAGGUGCUUCACGCCUGCCCUAUUGCAUUCGAUUUUGAUCAUCCUUUCUCGUACAUUAAAAAAAUCCUAGUUUAAACUACAUAUUUGUUUCUAUUGGCUCGUAAGAUGAAACCACACAUUUGUUUAUGUUGUUGUAAGUAGUAUGACUUAAAUUUUUUUAACUGGUUAUUUUGACUUAUGGAGGGUUAAUAACAGAACACAAAUAAUGAGACAUAGGAGAUUAGGAUAAUUACCAAGUUUAAUGAAAGGUUAUAAUUUGUUCAUUAAAAAAAAAACAUUGACUCGGUUAGUUGGUUUUUUUUUUUCCUUUCAAAUUUGUCACAAAAUUGAUUUGAUGGCUGACCAGUGACCACCACUGCUUCUCAGGAACACAAUCACAUGCCCACCAAACACAAUCUAAUAAGACUACUAAUCUUUGUUCCCAAACACAAAUGUUUGUGGCAUUGCCAAAAUUGUAGCAUAGUAAAUACCAAAUUGUAACAAGAAGAUAGUAAUUAUUUGUUUGUUUUUUUCUUUUUUUUUGCUACAAUUAAAAAUAAAAUUGCAUUGUUUGAGAAUUAAACUUAAAAUGGGAAAAAUCAGAGAAUCGGACGGUUCACCGCUCAUCAUCACAGGUACUUAUUCCCAUCAAAUCAUGAUUUCCCGCCUUAUUUUCAACACAGCCCAAUGUCUUUCCCGCCACCGCUUAAGCGAAACGACGUCGCGAGGCCAAGCGCCAAGCACCUGGUCCUGUUUCCCUCUCAAAGAAACGACGCCGUCAUGCUAAAAACCCCUUGUCCUGACAGAACAGAACCAAAUCCCCCAAAACACCCCUCUAAGAAAUCUCAAUGACCGCAAAAAACGCCCUACAGGAGAAGUCAUAAGGCUUAAUGUCCAGUCCUUUUUCGUCACAACAGAAAAAAUCAGUUUCCUUCAAGUCCCUCUUCGAGAGCCCUCGAAAAUCAUAAAUCUUUCACUCGCACUCUGGUUCAAAAACCUUUCUUCUCUAGUUUUUUCAUUUUCAUCGUUUUUGUUAUCCAAAGCAAACCCCUUCAAAUCCCUCUUUCUCUCUCUCUCUCUCUCAUCCUUAGUUCUGAAACCCUAAGUUUUCUUUCUCACUCUAUCUCUUUCUCUCUCUCUAUAUAUAUAUAUUUUCUUUUUGGUUAAUUUUAUCGGGGACUUGUCGCCGCCAAGCCCUAGGGUCCGAAACCAGAACCCUAAUUCACAUUACGAAACCGCAGAAGUUCGCAGAAGGCUAUCUCUGAAGUUUCAGAAAGGUGAGUUUCUUGUUCUUUUUUCGCUGCUUAUACAUGAAUUAAGUGGUUUUCGCAGUAUUUUUCUAUGUUUGGGGAAGGAAAUAGGAAAACCUAAUUUGUUCAUCAGUUGAAGAUUUAUGAACAGAAAAUUAAAGGGGGACGAUAACAAUGAUGCUCAGGGUUUUGCUAGAUUUUCUAAGACUGGCGAUGGCCAUAGAAUGCGAACUUACGCGAAACCCUAAUUUACAAUUUGGCUUUUUAGGGUUUUAUAGCUAAACUAUUUGAGUUUAUUUUUGAAUAUUGAGAAAGUGUGAAUUUUUUUUCUUAAUUUUUUUUUAAAAAUUUAAUUGGCAGAAAGUGAUUAGUUGGCUCUUUGUCUUAUGUAGAAAUUGUUCUUAAUGGCUGAUCAUCGAAAUGGAAAUAGCCAACCUCCUAAUGGAAAAACCAGCACUGGAGCAGGAAGUGCCUAUUCCAUUGAUGUGAAAAAAUUCAGUGAGAGAUUGAAGUUACUUUAUUCUCACUGGAAUGAACAUCGAUCUGAUUUGUGGGGUUCUUCUGAUGUUCUUGCAAUAGCAACACCGCCAGCAUCAGAGGAUUUGCGGUACCUUAAAUCUUCAGCAUUGAAUAUAUGGUUGGUAGGUUAUGAGUUUCCGGAGACGAUCAUGGUUUUCAUGAAGAAGCAGAUUCAUUUCUUGUGCAGCCAGAAGAAGGUGUCUUUGCUAGAAGUUGUAAAAAAGCCUGCCAAGGAAGCUGUGGGUGUAGAUGUUGUGAUGCAUGUGAAGGUAAAGAGUGAUGAUGGCAGUGGUUUGAUGGAUGCAAUUUUCCAUGCCAUUCGUGCUCAAUUGAAGGCUGAUGGCCAUGAUACUGCUGUUGUUGGACACAUAGCAAGGGAGGUCCCUGAGGGAAAUCUCUUGGAAUCAUGGUCUGAGAAGCUGAAGAGUGCAAAUUUUCAGCUAGGUGAUGUAACAAAUGGGUUGUCUGAAUUGUUUGCUGUUAAGGACAAUGAUGAGCUUGUGAAUGUCAAGAGAGCUGCUUUCUUGACUACUAAUGUCAUGAAUAAUAUCGUGGUUCCAAAGCUUGAGACUGUUAUUGAUGAGGAGAAGAAAGUCACCCAUUCUUCUUUUAUGGAUGAGACAGAGAAAGCUAUACUGGAACCCUCUAAAGCUGGAGCAAAGCUCAAGGCUGAGAAUGUUGACAUCUGUUACCCGCCGAUUUUUCAGAGUGGAGGACAGUUCGAUCUCAGACCCAGUGCUGCCAGCAAUGAUGAGUUGCUUUAUUAUGAUUCUGCUAGCGUGAUCAUAUGUGCAGUUGGGUCCCGCUACAAGAGUUACUGCUCAAAUGUUGCCAGGUCUUUUUUGAUUGAUGCUACUUCAUAUCAGAGCAAAGCAUAUGAAGUUCUUCUCAAGGCACAUGAUGCAGCCAUUGGCGAGUUGAAGCCUGGGAAAAAAGUCAGUGCUGCUUAUCAAGCAGCCAUUUCUGUGGUGAAGAAGGAGGCUCCUGAAUUUCCUGAAUUUGUAUCUAAUCUGACAAAAUCGGCUGGGACAGGUAUUGGACUUGAGUUCCGUGAGUCUGGGUUGAAUAUUAAUGCAAAGAAUGAACGGGUGGUUAAAGCAGGCAUGGUGUUUAAUGUGUCACUCGGUUUUCAGAACCUGCAGAGUGGUCGCAGUAAUCCAAAGAACCAGAACUUCUCUUUGUUGCUAGCGGACACCGUGGUGAUCAACAAUGACAAGCCGGAGGUGGUGACAAUUAAAAGUUCUAAGGCUCUUAAGGAUGUGGCAUACUCCUUUAAUGAAGAUGAAGAAGAACCUAAACCUAAAAAGGCGAAAGUUGAGGCUAAUGGGACGGAGGCAUUGAUGUCUAAGACAACCCUGAGGUCAGACAAUCAUGAGAUUUCAAAGGAGGAACUCCGCAGGCAGCAUCAGGCCGAACUUGCUCGUCAGAAAAAUGAAGAAACUGCUCGUAGACUUGCGGGUGCUGGAUCUGGGUCGGGUGACAAUCGUUCUGCAGCGAAGGCUUUAACGGAUUUAAUUGCCUACAAGAAUGUAAAUGAUCUCCCUCCUCCAAGAGAUCUGAUGAUUCAGAUUGACCAGAAGAACGAAGCUGUUCUGUUGCCUAUUUAUGGGAGUAUGAUCCCUUUUCAUGUUGCCACUAUAAGGACAGUUUCCAGCCAACAGGACACCAAUCGGAAUUGUUAUAUCAGAAUCAUCUUUAAUGUGCCCGGGACUCCUUUCAGUCCUCAUGAUGUAAACUCCUUGAAGAACCUUGGGUCUAUAUAUUUAAAGGAAGUUUCAUUUCGAUCCAAGGACCCAAGGCACAUAAGUGAAGUGGUACAGGUGAUUAAAAACCUGCGAAGGCAAGUUGUGGCCAGGGAGUCUGAGAGAGCUGAGAGGGCAACACUGGUUACUCAGGAGAAACUCCAACUAGCUGGUAACAGAUUUAAGCCAAUAAGAUUGUCUGACCUUUGGAUUCGACCUGUUUUUGGUGGCCGUGGAAGAAAGAUUCCUGGUACUCUUGAAGCUCAUGCGAACGGGUUUCGUUUUUCUACCACCAGGCAAGAUGAGCGUGUGGACGUAAUGUUUCCAAAUAUUAAGCAUGCUUUUUUCCAGCCAGCAGAGAAUGAGAUGAUCACUCUCCUCCACUUUCAUCUGCAUAAUCACAUUAUGGUGGGCACCAAGAAAACCAAAGACGUGCAAUUCUAUGUUGAGGUGAUGGAUGUAGUUCAGACCUUGGGAGGUGGAAAGAGGUCUGCCUAUGACCCAGAUGAGAUUGAAGAAGAACAACGGGAGAGGGAUAGGAAGAACAAAAUCAACAUGGAUUUUCAGAGCUUUGUGAAUCGGGUGAAUGAUCUUUGGGGGCAGCCUCAGUUUAAUGGCCUUGACCUUGAGUUUGAUCAACCUCUGAGAGAGCUUGGUUUCCAUGGUGUACCUUAUAAAUCCUCAGCGUUUAUUGUCCCUACUUCAACCUGCUUGGUUGAACUGAUAGAAACUCCUUUCCUUGUCGUCAGUCUAAGUGAGAUUGAAAUUGUGAAUCUGGAAAGAGUUGGGCUUGGACAGAAGAAUUUUGACAUGACAAUUGUAUUCAAGGAUUUCAAACGGGAUGUUCUUCGGAUUGACUCGAUCCCUUCCACAGCGCUUGAUGGCAUCAAGGAAUGGCUCGACACGACAGACCUCAAGUAUUAUGAGAGCAGGCUGAAUCUGAACUGGCGACAGAUUCUGAAGACAAUUACUGAUGACCCACAGAGCUUCAUUGAUGAUGGAGGUUGGGAAUUUUUGAAUUUGGAAGCAUCUGAUUCAGAAUCUGAUCACUCAGUGGAGUCAGACAAGGGUUACGAACCAUCUGAUGUGGAACCUGAAUCGGAAUCGGAGGAUGAUGCUUCUGAUAGUGAAUCGCUUGUGGAGUCAGAGGACGAGUCGGAGGAAGAUUCAGAAGCAGACUCAGAGGAAGAGUUGGGGAAGACAUGGGAAGAGUUGGAGAGAGAAGCUAGCAAUGCAGAUAGGGAGAAAGGGAACGAGUCAGACAGUGAGGAGGAUAGGAAGAGAAGGAAAAUGAAGGCUUUUGGGAAGUCUCGAGCCCCUCCAAGUAGUAGCAUCCCAAAGCGGACCAAGUUGAGAUAGAUUGUGCGAUUGUUUGUUUGUCUUAGCCGUUAUAUUGAAGUGGUUGCCUGACCUAGCUUGGAACUUUUAUUUUCUACUAGUUUGUUUUUAAGGAAUUUCCUCGUCAUUUUGGUCUUCCUAAAUAGAUUAUGUUGCAGACAAGACUUGACCUUUUGCUUGUAAAUUGAUAGCAUGAUUAGCAUCCUUGCUGGAAGUAAAAGCUUUAUCGUCUCUUUUUAUGGUUUGUAUUUCUGUAGAUUUUCGAUUGCCCCAUUUUGUUAUUGUAAUUCCGCAGUUACAAGUAUUUGAUUUGCCAAAAAGGGCUAAAAAAAACUCUUGUUUUUGCCGAAAUGCUUACAGUUGUUAUGUUGAUCCAAAAACACGGAGUAGUUAAUUAUAUACCUUUCUUUUGUCAGAUUAAUAGUUUUAACCAAUUUCUUUUUAACUGAAUUUAACUUCAGCGAGAAGGGCUUUUAACGGAUUUAAUUGAUGCCUACAACAAUUUAUGUAAAUAAUAAUCUCCCUCCUCCAACUCAAAGAGAGUUGUGAUGAUGAUUUGUAUUGACCCGAAGAAUGAAGCUUUUCUGUUGCCCAUAAUAUGGGAGUAUGAUCCCUUUUCAUGUUGCCACCAUAAGAAGAAAUAGUUUCCAGUCCAGUCAACAGGACAACAAUGGGAAAUGUUUUAUCAGAAUCAUCUUUAAUGUUGAUCAUGAUGCCAACUCUUGAAUUUGAAGCAUCUGAUUCUGAGCCUGAUCACUCUUGAGGAUUCAGAGGACGGCACGGGAGGAGUUGGUGAAGGAAGCAAGCAAUGCAGACAGGGAGAAAGGGAACGAGCUGGGCAGAGAGGAGGAGAGGGAGAGAAGGAAGAUGAAAGCUUUGGGCAGUCUCCAGCCCCUCCUAGUAGUAGCAACCGAAAGCGGUCUAAGUUGAGAUAGAUCAUGUGUGUUCUUUUUCCUUUUGGACUAAAUAGAUGAUGUUGGAGACAGGAACUUUUGCUUGUAAAUAAAUGAUCCACUGAGAGACAAACCCAAGUUUACUCAUUUGGCGCAUCUUCACCUGCAAGUAUCACAUUACCAAAAACAAAAUUCACCCGAGGAAUCAUAUAGCAACCAACAUCAGUGAGUGAAACCAAAGUAUGAUAAAAGGAUAUAUGUAAAACCCUUUAAUUUUGUUCUUUCCUAACAUCUUAUGUUGAAGGAAAAUGGUGAUCUUCCUAAUAUAAUUUCACCACCACUAAUUAAAUAAUGGGGUUUUAUUAUUUUUGGGUUCGACCCAUUCGAGACGCAAGUCUCUUAAUUACAAUCCCUUGCUUCAAGGGAAAACCCUUUGAUUCCAUCAUAAAGAAACAGAACGUGUGUGUUUGAUUUUGCAGCUGCUCCCAAGUCCAACCUCAGGAUGCCUACGUAUCCUUUGCAGGAAUCAAGCCACUCGUAGUUCAAAGAUUCAUGAUGAAUAAAUGACUCAUCACAAAACGAAGAAUUUGAAUGGGUUUAAUUGAGGAGUUUGAGUGAAUUUAGCUGAAUAAACCAGAGAUUCGAUAUGGAAAUAUGUUUGGGAUGGUUGCAUCUAGAUUGAAUCUCUAGAUUGCCUACGUACCCUUUUACAGGGAUCAAACCAACGUAGUUCGAAAUUGAUUUGUGUAAAGGUAGAUAUUUGAUUUUUUGGGGGAAUUUGGUUGAUGUAACCAGUGAUUCAAAUUGGUUGCGGUUGCGCCUAUUGAGAUGUUAGACUGCCUACGUACCCUUAACGGGGAUCAAACCGACGUAGUUCCAAAAUUCAGAAAUUAAUGGGUAAGUGUGGCCCAAUAAUUUAGAGUUGGUGUCUUUGAGACGAUUUGAAGAUUUUCAUAGGUAAAUGACCUAUGGGAAAAAUUGGAAAUUAAUGGGUAUGUAUGACCCAAUAAUUUAGAAUUUGUAUCUUUGAGAUAAUUUGGGGAUUUUCAUAGGUAGGUGACCUAUGAGAAAAUUUUGAAAUUAAUGGGUAAGUGUGGUCCACUAAUUGAGAAUUUGUGUUUGAGAUAUUUGAAUUUAAUCUCAUUGAAAUUUUCAUGAGUAGAUGACCCAUGAGAAAAAUUGGAAAUUAAUGGGUGAGUGUGGCCCAUUAAUUGAGAAUUUGUGUUUGAGAUAUUUGAAUUUAAUCUCAUUGAAAUUUUCAUGAGUAGAUGACCCAUGAGAAAAAUUGGAAAUUAAUGGGUGAGUGUGGCCCAUUAAUUGAGAAUUUCUUUUUGAGAGAUUUGAUUUUAAUCUCAAUGAAAUUUGUAUGGGUAGAUGACCCAUGGGGAAAAUUAGAUCUCUGUAAAUUUAAUGGGUAAUUAUUUGGAUUACCCAUUAAUUACUAUGGGCUUUUGAAAAUCAAUGGACAAUUAUUUUUGAUAGUCCAUUAUUUUAUUUCGGGCCUGUGAUAUUUUGACUGGCCCAUUUUUUUGGACAUGUGAAGAAGAGAGAAAAGAAGGAAAGAAGAGAGAGAGUUGAAAUAAAUCCAAAACACAAAAAAAAGUGGCUGACGCCACUUUUUAUUAUUUUUUUAUUUUUUUGUCUUUUGACUUCUUCUUUUUUUUUCUUUGAAUUUCUUCCCCCUUUUGAAACCAAGUGGCUGACGCCACUUUCCCAUUUUUUCUUACUCUUCUUCCAUUUUCUCUUUCGACAGGAGUCUUCCUUCUUUUUUGUUAUUUGCUGCUACUAUCUGCAGUAUCAGGCCGACCAACAGCCAACAAGGUUGUCUUCCUUUUCAAGCACAGCUUAUUUUUUAUUUGCUGUGAGAUUAAACCCCCAAUGAUUUUGUUUGUGGGUUUUGUACCCAAAUUGGAUUUGUGCUCUUGAGAACUCACUGAAAGAGUUUUAUGCCCAAAAAAAAUGGAUAUACCAUUCAGGGUAUUUGAUUGAGGGUUACACACCCAUGAUGGAUUUCGUAUCCAAGAUUCUUGAGGGUGAAAUGCCCAGGCUUUAUUUCAAGGGUGAAAACCAAUAUUUGCUUUGAGGGUGAAAACCCAUAUUUGUUUUCAGGGUGAAAUACCCAAAUUUUGUUUCUGGGGUGCAAAACCCAAACUUGUUUUGAGGGUGAAAACCCAUAUUUGUUUUCAGGGUAAAAAAAAAUAUUUGAACAUCCAAGAAAUUUUGAUUCAAGGUUGCCAAGGGUUGCCACCCUACAUGGAUUGCCAUCCAUUUGAUUGAUUAAAGGGUUGCCACCCAAAAAACGGAGGACCUCAAGAGAGGAGCCUUGAUUGCCUCUGUCAUAUUUCUUCAGCAUGGCUAUGCAUCCGCCAUGUUCCCCAAGCCUUGUUGUCUUUUUUUUGGGUAUCUCUUCACAGUCUGCCGUUGUGCUAUUUUUCUUUCUGCAGCAGUUUUCUUCUUCUGUCCUGUUCUGCUCCCUCCCUCUGUCCUCCUCUUUUUUUUUUUCUCCUUUAAUGCAAAAUAUUUAUACUAAAAACUGGAUAACCAGCUCCCCCAAAAAUAGGAGCCACUAAACUCUUUAGACCCCCACCUUUUUCCAAACUUCCCCCCACCUUUUUCCAAACUUCCCCCCACUUUCCAAUAUUUUGUGAUUUUUGUGAUUUUUUUAUUCCAACAGAUGCCCCCUCAAGCUUUGUGCGUGUGGCAUUUUUUUUUUUUUUACGCGUGCAAAGCUUGAGAUGCCUUUGACUAGCAUUAUAAGCUAACAUAUGUAUAUGUUUUUUUUUUUUACCUUUGAUUUCAGGUGAUGGAUGCUUAUGGAAAUCUUCACAAGGAACAUGCUUCCGAUGAAUAUGGUAGGGCCAUGGCCUUUGGUUCAGUAUUCUUUUGCUCUUGUAAUGUAGUUUUUCCACCAAGAACAAUUUUCAGAAUAAAGAUUUUGUCGGAUUUGCUUUUCUAUUUCACAGUUUAUACUCGUGCGAAGUUGGAGUUCUUUUGCGUAGUAUACAACAGUUUAAACACGUGCUAACACCAUCGGUGGACAAGAAUGAAUUCAUGAUAGUUUACGGCUGCGUCUAGCUUUUGGGCUAGCUUGCCUACGUACCCUGUGAAGGGAUCAAGCCGAACGUAGUUCACCCUCCUUGAAUUGAGGUAAUAAAGGGGGAUUUGGGGUCUUGUGACUGAAUCUAGCUUUUUAGAGACUAGACUGCCUACGUACCCCUUUUUUAGGGAUCAAGUCAACCGUAGUUCUUUGCUUGGGCCGCCCUUUCGGGUUUUCAACCCAAAAUUUUUUUUUUUUUUUUUUUUUUGGUGCUCUAAUUUUGCUUGGGCCGCCCUUUCGGGUUUUCAGCCCAACGAGCAUUUUUUAAUUUACCCUAACUUUUGCUUGAACAGCCCUUUUGGGUUUUCAGUCCAACGGGUCUCUUUUUUUUUUCUUUUUUUUUUUAACCAUCAGGCGUAAAAUUUCUUGACGAAUUUCCCGUUCACACAAGGAUAUAUGCACUUGCCUUCGGAGUUUGACAAUUCGUAGGCACCCUUGGAGAAAACCUUAGUAAUGACGUAGGGCCCCUCCCACUUGGGUUCAAACUUACCAUGCAUUUUCCUAGUAAUGACGAAGGGUCUUCGGACAGUUAAAACCAAGUCUCCAAUUGAGAAAGAUCUGAACUUAACUUUUCUGUUGAAUGCCCCUGCCACCUGAGCCUGAUAUAUUUCGAGCCUUUGUUGAGCCGCCAAUCUUUUCUCAUCGAGAGCUUCCAAUUCUGCCAGUCUCACAUUUGCGUUCUCGUCGGGGUUUGUUAGCUGUAAUGCUACCCUUAACGAUGGCAAUUGGACUUCUAAUGGUGGAACCGCCUCAGAACCAAACACCAAAUUGUACGGUGUACAUCCUGUUGAGUUGCGUAUGGUCGUCCUGUAAGCCCAUAAUGCUUCAGGGAGGCGUUCAUGCCAAUCUCUUUUGUUUCCUGAGACCAUCUUCUUUAGGAUAUUGCACAAUACUUUAUUGAAAGCUUCAGCUUGACCAUUUGACGACGGAUUGUAACUCGCGGAGAACGAGUGUUGAAACUUAUACUUCUCGCACAACUUGGUCAUGGACUUGCAUUUGAAAUACAAUGCAUUGUCAGAUAUAAUCUUCGAUGGAACCCCAUAACGGUAGAUGAUGUGGUUCCUUAUGAAGUUUGUAACAUCGUCUGCUCGUACCUCCUUUAAAGGAAUUGCUUCAGCCCAUUUAGAGAAGUAAUCAGUCGCGGCCAAGAUGUAUUGAUGUUGACGUGAUGACUUAGGCUUUAUCAUGCCAAUAACAUCUAAUCCCCAAGCUUCAAAUGGCCAAGACAAAGUUGUCGGAUGCAAUUGUUGGGGAGGUUGGUGAAUAAAGUCUCCAUGUAAUUGGCAAUCUUUACAUGUGGUUGCAAAUUUUAUUGAGUCUCGGACCAUUGUUGGCCAGUAAUAACCCAAUCUCUUUAGUUGGUUCGAAAGUUUUGGCCCAGCUUGAUGAGCACCACAAGUGCCAGCAUGAGUAUCAUGAAGGGCCUUAGUUGCAUCUUGUUUCGACAGACACCUUAACAACAUACCAUCAAAUGAUCUUUUGUACAAGGUAUCAUUUAAGUACAGAAAUCGAGUGACUCUGCGUCGGACUUCAGCCUUUUUCCUUGAGUCAUUUGGCAACUUGCCAAGUAGUAGAUACUCGAUUAUGGGAUGGCGCCAAUCAAGAUCAUCCGGUUCCUCCUCACAUUCGGAGGACGUAAUAACGUUUGAAUCCACAACUUCUUCAAUUCUCUCUAUAGCUGGGGGUAGCAAAUAACGUUCCCCAACGGUGACUUGGAUAUCCCUUUCGCUAGGUAGUGUUAACGAUGCAGCCAAAUUAGCUAGUGCAUCAGCUUUAUCAUUUUCCGACCUCGGGAUGUGACUAACAUGAAUGUCUUGAAACUGUGACAUGAGAUACUUCGCCCUUUCAUGGUAUGGGACGAGAGAAGCAUUUCUGACUGCAUAUUGACCAUUCAACUGUCUGACGGCCAACUGUGAAUCACCAUAUACUUGCAAACAAUCAAUAUGCAUCUCGAGGGCAAUUUCAAGGCCAAUGAUGAGUGCCUCGUAUUCUGCCACAUUAUUCAAACAUAAAGUUAGUAAGGAGAAUGAGUAUGGGAUUAAGCCCCCAGACGGCGUGAUGAAUAUUAAUCCUGCCCCAGCUCCGUUUCUUCUUGCUGCCCCAUCAAAAUAUAGUUGCCAUGUAAGUGAUUCUAUUGCGAACACCUCCUCAUUAGGCAAAUCUGCAGGUAACUCCAUGUUGUCGGGAGUAGGAUGAGCAGCCAAGAAAUCGGCAAGAGCUUGCCCUUUGAUCGCCUUUUGUGGCACAAAUUUUAUCUCAAACUCAGAAAGGAGGAGUGACCACUUGGCUAUUCGCCCAGAGAGCACAGGCUUGGACAUUAAAUAUCGGAGCGGAUCUGCCUUGGAAAUCAAGAUGACUCUAUGAGAGAGGAUGUAGUGUCGUAGCUUCUGGACAGCAAACACUAAUGCAAGGCAGACCUUUUCUAUAGGGGUGUAAUUUUGUUCUGCCCCUACGAGUGUUCUACUCAAGUAGUAGAGUGCAUUUUCCUUUCCAUCAUCAUUGUGUUGAGCGAGCAAUGCCCCCAACGAGCGUUCUAACGCUGCAAUAUACAAGAUUAAGGGCUUCCCUUUAAUUGGCGCCAUAAGAACUGGCGGAUUUAAUAGGUAUUGUUUAAUGCUUUCUAAGGCAUUUUGACAUGCUUGAUCCCAUACAAAUGGAACAUCCUUCUUCAUGAGCCUCGAGAAUGGUUGGCACCUUCCAGAAAGAUUUGAGAUGAACCGUCGUAUAUAGGCUAGUCUGCCUUGCAACCCUCGCAACUCCCUUAAAUUUUGAGGGGGAGGCAUUUCACGGAUUGCCUUGAUUUUUGAGGGAUCAAUUUCAAUUCCUCGAUGUCGGACAACGAAGCCAAGGAAUUUGCCUGAAGUUACCCCAAAUGCACACUUCAAGGGGUUCAUUUUCAACUGGUGCUUUCGGAGUCUAUCAAAAACUCGUUUUAAGUCACUCAAAUGAUGUUCCCUUUUCCUGGUUUUAACCACCAAAUCAUCAACGUAACACUCAAUAGUAUUGUGAAGCAUGUCAUUGAAAAUUGUUGUCAUAGCUCUUUGGUAAGUUGCCCCAGCAUUUUUCAACCCAAAAGGCAUCACAGUGUAGCAAUAUAUUCCUUUUGGAGUGCGGAAGGCAGUUUUUUAUUGAUCCUCUGGAGCCAUUUUUAUUUGGUUGUAACCUGAGAAUUCAUCCAUGAACGAUAGAGCACCAAAACCGGUUGUUGCAUCUACCAAUAAUUCUGUGAUUGGGAGCGGAAACUCAUCUUUUGGGCAUGCAUCAUUGACAUCUCUAUAGUCCACGCAUAUACGCAGUGCCCCAGUUUUUUUUAAGUACUGGAACAAUAUUGGACAACCAAGUGGGAUAGUGGACUUCUCGAAUAAAACCGGCAGCAAUAAGCUUGUCAAUCUCAAUUUCUAUUUGGAUUGUUAGCUCUGGCCGAAAACGGCGUGGCACUUGCUUCACCCAUCGAACCUCGUUAGGUAUCCCAAGUUUGUGAACUGCAACGUUUGGGUCUAACCCUGGCAUGUCUAGAUAACUCCAUGCAAAUACGUCUCGGUACUCUUGCAACAGUUGUGUGUAUUCUUCUAACUCUUGCGGCGUUAACGAAGCACUGACAAAGAUAGGUUUUGGGUCAUCAACUGUACCAAGAUUAAUUUCUUGCAGAUCAUCAAUUGUGGCUUGACCACCCUCCUCCAUUUGGGGUGGAGCUGGUUGGACUAUGUCAAUGAAUCCCUCGAUAUCUUGAGGAUCAUCAUCUUGGCCCACCGCUUCUUUGAAAGAGGUGCAAUUGACUUGGACAAGGUCAUCCUUUAUUUUCACCCUUUUGACCUUCUCGAUCACGGCUUUCUCUUGACUCCUAACCUUCCAUUUCCUUUUAUUAUGGACUUUCCCUUGUUGAGAAUUGGAAGGGUUUUCCAAGCGGUGAAAGACUGAGAUGCGGGAUGGCUGUCUGCUCCCUAAGCGUUUGAACACAGAGACGCGGAGCGGCCUUAUAUUCACCUCAUCUUCUCUAAACAUAGCUUGUUCCAUAUUAGUGAGUAUCUCGGACUCGGAAACUUCCAGCUGUGGCCUUCGAAGAAACACUUUGAGCACACCACUCUCAUUUUGAACUGUGAGGCCAGCAUUGCUUUUCUUUGUUUUACGGCCUCUAAGUUUUAUCUUUAAUGGAGUAAAUGUUGUUUCUGGCAAUGAUUCUUUUUUGUGAAGAACUAUACGUUUACUCAGGCCCUUGUUUUUGCCAAAAGUAGUCGAAAUGACCAAAUCGUCCCCUGGGAUAGACUGAUUGAUCUUACGAAGAGGACGAAUGUAGCUUGCCGUCAUCAGUGACUCCAUUGUUUGUUUCGAGGAGCUUGUUUCCUUUUCACUAGGCUCCUUUUUUGAAGUCUUGACAAUUAUCUUUGGCUUGGGAGCCUUUUGCAGUCGGGAUUUCUUCCACUUUUGAGAAUGAUGUACCACGAGGUUUUAGCUUCACUCGAAUUACGUUUGAAGGUUUGGGUACUUCUACCUUUUUUGCCUUUCCUGUUUCAACAGUCACUCUUUCCUCUUUAACAACCUUUGAUGGCUGUGUGAAUGAGAUACCUGGUGGACUGUAAAAUUUCACAUCAGAGUAAUUUACCUCUUCACCUCUGAACGGGUCCAUGUCAGCUGAAACGGUCUUGACUUCCCCAUCCAUCGAGUAUUUGAAGCACUGGUGAAGUGUGGAAGGGACUACUCCAUAUGUAUGGAGCCAUGGGUGUCCUAGGAGGACAUUGUAUGAAGUGUCAGCAUCGAUCACAUGGAAUAGGGCAUCUGAAUAUAGUUCCCCUAUUUCCAUUUGCAGUGCGAUAGAACCCAUGGCUUUUUGCCCAAGUUGAUUGAACCCUUGAAUAGUCAGCAUAGAUGGAGAUAAUUGUCGGGCACUCAUCCCUAUAGCUUGGAGUGUCUUUAAAGGGAUAAGAUUCACAGCCGAACCACAAUCUAACAAGAUUCGAUUGAUGAUCGUGCCUCCAACUUCGCCAGUGACAUAAAGAGGUCGAUUAUGGAAUUUGGAUCCAAGUAAGAAGUCAUCUUCACCGAAGGUAAUUGCUGCCAGACACGAUGCACAAAACUUCAAGGUUUCAGUUGUGUGGACGUCUACUGAUUUGAAACAUGAUUUGUACAAAUCCGGGCUCUUUAAAGCCAUUACAAGUGCUUCUCUAAGCUCUCUCGACAUUUGUAAAGCGUCAUAAACACUUAAAGGAGCGGGGAUGCGCUUAAGAUGAGCCCAGAUAUCAUACUUAAGUGCAUGUGAUUGUGAAGGCUCUUUUGUUUUACUAGUGUCGGGCUCAAGGUCUUUUGCUUUUGAAGAGGACGGUGGAACUUCCCUUGCAACAGCUUUUUCUGACAAGGAGACCUUAAUCUCUUUCGCCUUUGACUUCUUCUCGGUUUUAAAGGGAUCAGCUUCCUCAUUUUCUUGUUGUUUAUUAGCAGAUGGGAUGCUCCGACCGGAGCGGAGGUUAAUCUCAUCAACCUCUGUGUCAACCUCAUAUUCUCCCACAGAAACCAUAUUGCAUUGGAUAAUUUCUUCCUCAACCUCGGAUUCACUCGAGAAGAACUCAACUGGCAAGAAUUCAGUGAGUGUGACAGGGACCCUUGCGGGUUGCUCAUAUUCAUCCUCUUGAGGGAUAUGAACCUUCUUUUGCACCUUCUUCUUCUUCCUUUUAUUUUUCGAGGCUGGCAUGCCUCGAAUCUUGACAACAGAACGAUAAACAGAUUUGUGAUUGGGUGGGAAAUGUUUGGCCAUGUGCUUGGCUCUUUUAACAAAUGUCUUCCACCCCUCAGCAGAUUCGUCGGCCGAAGAAUCUUCCCAUACCUCUAGACUGGGUGCAGUCAUAAGCUCAUGAAGAGCGGGAAUUUGAAGAUCACUAAACCACGGUGCAUUUGGAUAGGCAUGCACAAUUGUACCCUCAUUGUCAGUAUUAAAACCUGCAAGUUUCACUCCGUCUAGUGGUGUAGUGGUAGGUGUGAGCUUUUCCUCUAUCAUAUUUGCCGCAGCUGAAUGAUGUUGGGGAGAAGAGUCUAUCACCAAGCCACCAUUGUUGAGGAGCUCUUGAAUUUUGUCUUUCAGGAUAUAACAAUCCUUGAGCGUAUGACUGAUGAGGCGAUGAUACCGAUAAUACCUAGGGUCAUUUGUCUUGUUAGCCUCAGCAGGACGCUUUGAUUCUGGCAAAGCAAUACCAUUGGAGGCCAAAAGUUGGUCAAAGAUUUCUUCCACAUCCUCAUCGUUGAAAGAAUAUUUAACCUCUUUGCGCUCUUUGAGAGUGAGCCUUUUGGGUGGGUCUUUGCUUUGGCCUUUGUCAUUUCUCUUUUCUGUUUUGACAAAAGUGGCCAAUGACUCUCCUUUUGCAGACUUCUUGUCAUUUUUCUUCUCCCCAAAUUGAAUUUUUUGGGUCGCGGACUUUUGACGAGCAAUUUGUCUUUCAACAUUGCUCGCCUUUGACACCAAGGCAUCAAAUGAUUGAGGUUCAGCAGUGGCAACAAAAGUCGCAAUAUCUGGUAUGAGGUUGUUGUAGCACAUUUGCACGGCUGAUUGCUCGGUAAUUUUCUCCGGGCAUUGAAGAUUGAGGCUUCUCCAUCUCAUUAUGAAGUCAUUAGCACUUUCCCCUGGCUUUUGGGUAGUUUAAGCUAGGUCCAUGAUCGAGACCUUCUUCUUUGAACUGACAAACUGUGCCAAAAAUGCUUUUUGCAUGUCGUCCCAUGUCAGGAUAGAACCUGGUGGCAGUUGUGUAUACCAAGUGAAAACUGACCCUUUUAGGGAUUGGACAAAUUGACGCACCAGAAGAGCGUCUGACUGAGAUGUCUCGCCACAUGCUGAGUAAAAAUGUGCCAAAUGUUCAUGGGGUGAGCUACUUAUGCCAUCAAAUUUAUCAAAUAUAGGCCGUUGAUAACCCUUCGGGAAUGAUAUGGCGUCAUAGUGAGAAGGGAAAGGUUUUCGAUACCCUUGAACAGGAGGUGCUAUAGACAAUUGGAACUCACGAAUUCCUUCAGCAAUUAACACCUUUAUGUCAUUUGGGGAAAUUGUGCUCGUAGAGCUUUCUGCUUUUUCCUCUUUUGUUUGUUGUUCUUGGGCGGUCGAUUCAUUUGUUUUGCUCAUGUCUUGCUCACCUAUGAUGUUUUUUCCUUUCAGCCGAGCGGAUAGUAACGCUAUUUCCGCGUCUUUUUCUGCCAACUUCUGCUGCAUUUCCCUUCGCAGGUCCUGCAUCAUUUCUUGGAUUAAAGGUAACUGGUCCUCAGUAUUAGAAGUACCAGUCAUCAUGACUUGCAUGCUUUCCACUCCCUCAUGAAGUUUGGCCCCUUGGGAUGAUAUACAAUCAUUCUCUUGAGUUUGAGAUACAGGAUCAUCAUAGAGAGGAUUCCAUUGCAAAUAAUCAUCCAAGGUUGAGCUUAGACUGGAUAACUCGGGAAUAAUCGUCCCAACCAUGUUUCGGGAUUUAGAACGAGUCAAUGGACCCACGUAGGUCCUCGACUGAUCUUGAGGUUUUGGGACUCCCCCUUGUGAUACGAGAAUCUGAUCCCUUGAAACAUCAGUUAUCUUCACCUUUUUCACGCGUUUCCUUUGUGGAUGAGGUAUGUUCACCACCUUCUUUUUCAUGACCGUGGCUCUGCUUUUACCCUUAGGAGAACAUGGGUAAACCUCUUGUAAUGUGGAUUCCACAACAUGGGCUCUAAGGCUUGAUGGAGGUUCGGCCUCUUGGACCUCGACGUUCUUCACGAAGUCGUCUUUUUGACCUUCAUCUCUAGCUUCGUUGAUGGAAGUCAUCAGAACAGAAUCUGUAGGAUAUAGGUUGACUGGAAUUGAUCCAAUCAUGAUUUGGACAAAUUGGGAAGUAUUUGUUCUCUUGGGAGUCGGCACAGCCAGGGUGGUUAAGGUGUUCUUGCCCUCAGUCAUUAUUGGGCUUGUCCCAGAAAGCUGGGAUAAGAUUGCCUCAAUAGACUCCUUUUUUGCUUCUUUCUUUCUUAAAGCACGCGCAGCCCUCUUUCUUCCAUUUCGGAGAGCGUUCUUGGACGCAGUUUUCUUCAAUUGGGUCUUCACGACCUUAGGAGUGACCUGAGGUCUGGCCCUUUGAAUGGGCUUUGGCACAGUGCACUUGAUGAGGCUCUCACCAACAAUGAAAGUCUUUUUGAACCCUACUCGUUUGGUGCACGCAUUCUUGGUAGUUUCAAUUUUGUGAAAGAAAAUCGUUACUUGUGGUGCCAUCGUAUCUGGUUUUGUUAACCUGUGAAAAACACAAAUAAAUAAAACAAACAUUAGUCACUCUAUGAUUGGAGAUGAAAAGGUAAAUGGGUCCCACCGGGCGUGCCAAAAAUUAUGUUGAAGGAAAAUGGUGAUCUUCCUAAUAUAAUUUCACCACCACUAAUUAAAUAAUGGGGUUUUAUUAUUUUUGGGUUCGACCCAUUCGAGACGCAAGUCUCUUAAUUACAAUCCCUUGCUUCAAGGGAAAACCCUUUGAUUCCAUCAUAAAGAAACAGAACGUGUGUGUUUGAUUUUGCAGCUGCUCCCAAGUCCAACCUCAGGAUGCCUACGUAUCCUUUGCAGGAAUCAAGCCACUCGUAGUUCAAAGAUUCAUGAUGAAUAAAUGACUCAUCACAAAACGAAGAAUUUGAAUGGGUUUAAUUGAGGAGUUUGAGUGAAUUUAGCUGAAUAAACCAGGGAUUCGAUAUGGAAAUAUGUUUGGGAUGGUUGCAUCUAGAUUGAAUCUCUAGAUUGCCUACGUACCCUUUUACAGGGAUCAAACCAACGUAGUUCGAAAUUGAUUUGUGUAAAGGUAGAUAUUUGAUUUUUUGGGGGAAUUUGGUUGAUGUAACCAGUGAUUCAAAUUGGUUGCGGUUGCGCCUAUUGAGAUGUUAGACUGCCUACGUACCCUUAACGGGGAUCAAACCGACGUAGUUCCAAAAUUCAGAAAUUAAUGGGUAAGUGUGGCCCAAUAAUUUAGAGUUGGUGUCUUUGAGACGAUUUGAAGAUUUUCAUAGGUAAAUGACCUAUGGGAAAAAUUGGAAAUUAAUGGGUAUGUAUGACCCAAUAAUUUAGAAUUUGUAUCUUUGAGAUAAUUUGGGGAUUUUCAUAGGUAGGUGACCUAUGAGAAAAUUUUGAAAUUAAUGGGUAAGUGUGGUCCACUAAUUGAGAAUUUGUGUUUGAGAUAUUUGAAUUUAAUCUCAUUGAAAUUUUCAUGAGUAGAUGACCCAUGAGAAAAAUUGGAAAUUAAUGGGUGAGUGUGGCCCAUUAAUUGAGAAUUUGUGUUUGAGAUAUUUGAAUUUAAUCUCAUUGAAAUUUUCAUGAGUAGAUGACCCAUGAGAAAAAUUGGAAAUUAAUGGGUGAGUGUGGCCCAUUAAUUGAGAAUUUCUUUUUGAGAGAUUUGAUUUUAAUCUCAAUGAAAUUUGUAUGGGUAGAUGACCCAUGGGGAAAAUUAGAUCUCUGUAAAUUUAAUGGGUAAUUAUUUGGAUUACCCAUUAAUUACUAUGGGCUUUUGAAAAUCAAUGGACAAUUAUUUUUGAUAGUCCAUUAUUUUAUUUCGGGCCUGUGAUAUUUUGACUGGCCCAUUUUUUUGGACAUGUGAAGAAGAGAGAAAAGAAGGAAAGAAGAGAGAGAGUUGAAAUAAAUCCAAAACACAAAAAAAAGUGGCUGACGCCACUUUUUAUUAUUUUUUUAUUUUUUUGUCUUUUGACUUCUUCUUUUUUUUUCUUUGAAUUUCUUCCCCCUUUUGAAACCAAGUGGCUGACGCCACUUUCCCAUUUUUUCUUACUCUUCUUCCAUUUUCUCUUUCGACAGGAGUCUUCCUUCUUUUUUGUUAUUUGCUGCUACUAUCUGCAGUAUCAGGCCGACCAACAGCCAACAAGGUUGUCUUCCUUUUCAAGCACAGCUUAUUUUUUAUUUGCUGUGAGAUUAAACCCCCAAUGAUUUUGUUUGUGGGUUUUGUACCCAAAUUGGAUUUGUGCUCUUGAGAACUCACUGAAAGAGUUUUAUGCCCAAAAAAAAUGGAUAUACCAUUCAGGGUAUUUGAUUGAGGGUUACACACCCAUGAUGGAUUUCGUAUCCAAGAUUCUUGAGGGUGAAAUGCCCAGGCUUUAUUUCAAGGGUGAAAACCAAUAUUUGCUUUGAGGGUGAAAACCCAUAUUUGUUUUCAGGGUGAAAUACCCAAAUUUUGUUUCUGGGGUGCAAAACCCAAACUUGUUUUGAGGGUGAAAACCCAUAUUUGUUUUCAGGGUAAAAAAAAAUAUUUGAACAUCCAAGAAAUUUUGAUUCAAGGUUGCCAAGGGUUGCCACCCUACAUGGAUUGCCAUCCAUUUGAUUGAUUAAAGGGUUGCCACCCAAAAAACGGAGGACCUCAAGAGAGGAGCCUUGAUUGCCUCUGUCAUAUUUCUUCAGCAUGGCUAUGCAUCCGCCAUGUUCCCCAAGCCUUGUUGUCUUUUUUUUGGGUAUCUCUUCACAGUCUGCCGUUGUGCUAUUUUUCUUUCUGCAGCAGUUUUCUUCUUCUGUCCUGUUCUGCUCCCUCCCUCUGUCCUCCUCUUUUUUUUUUUCUCCUUUAAUGCAAAAUAUUUAUACUAAAAACUGGAUAACCAGCUCCCCCAAAAAUAGGAGCCACUAAACUCUUUAGACCCCCACCUUUUUCCAAACUUCCCCCCACCUUUUUCCAAACUUCCCCCCACUUUCCAAUAUUUUGUGAUUUUUGUGAUUUUUUUAUUCCAACAUCUUACAAGAAAAAAAAGUUUGUUUUAACACGCAGAAGGAACAGAGACAACAAAAAAACACCCAUUUUGACUUUUUUCUUUUUGUUAACUCAUUACUCUUCUUGCGUAACAUCUUCAAAAUGGAACACCCCUAAUACUGGAGUUAUACAACUCAAAUCUAAUUCUGUUGCUCAAGAUGCUGCAUAAGUUAAAGAAACAGAAGAUAAAAGCAGACAACUGUCACCUAAAUUUGGGCCUCUUGGGAAGGCUGCCACCAAGAUUUCUCUUGUCAGGAGGUGCCCGAGCCUUUCCAAAAGCCUUAACCUUCCUUCUUGCCCUCUCCUCUUCGCUGUCUGAGUCAUUCCCCUUUUCCCUGUCUGCAUAACUUGCUUCCCUCUCCAACUCUUCCCAAGUCUUUCCUUCUUCCUCUUCUGAGUCUUCUCCCGACUCUUCUUCCUCAUCAUCCUCGGACUCCACCAAUGACUCGCUGUCAUCAUCCUCAUCCUCGGAACCUGAAUCUGACUGUAUAUCUGAAGGCACAUAUCCAUGGUCAGACUCCUGAGAAUUAUCGGAAUCAGAAUCACUAACUUCCAUAUUUAAGAAUUCCCAUCCACCAUCCUCUAUGAACUUCUCAGGGUCGUCAGUGAUGGUUUUCAGUAUAGGACGCCAGUUGAGAUUCAACCUACUCUCAUAAUACUUGAGGUCAGUUGUGUCUAACCACUCCUUAAUGCCAUCUAGUGAUGUUGAAGGAAUGGAAUCAAUUCUAAAUACAUCUCGCUUGAAGUCCUUGAAAACAAUAGUCAAAUCAAAGUUCUUUUGCCCAAGACCAACUCUCUCAAGGUUUACUAUUUCAAUCUCACUUAGAGUAAUUACCACAAAUGGUGUCUCUAUCAGCUCAACCAGACAGCUCGAAGUUGGGACAAUGAAAGCUGAGGCUUUAUGAGGUACUCCAUGGAAGCCAAGCUCUCUAAGGGGCUGAUCAAACUCAAGGUCAAGCGCUUUGAAUGGGGGCUGCCCCCAUGAAUCAUUUACUCGGUUCACAAAGUUCUGGAAUUCCAUAUUAAUUUUGUUCUUUCGUUCUCUCUCACGCUGCUCUUCCUCAAUCUCAUCAGGAUCAUAUGCAGACCUCUUUCCACCUCCCAGUGUCUGAACUACAUCCAUCACCUCCGCAUAAAAUUGCACGUCCUUAGUCUUUUUGUUUCCUACCAUAAUAUGAUUGUGAAGAUGAAAGUGCAGCAGGGUAAUCAUUUCCUUCUCAGCUGGCUGGAAAAAUGCAUGUUUGAUAUUGCUAAACAUAACAUCCACACGUUCAUCAGGCCUUGAAGUAGAAUACCGGAACCCAUUUGCGUGGGCUUCCAGAGAUCCGGUGAGCUUUCUUCCACGACCACCAAAAACGGGACGAAUCCAUAGAUCAGGCAAUCUUUUUGGCUUGAAUUUGGCUCCUGCAAUUUGCAGCUUCUCUUGCGUAACUAAAGUUGCCCUUUCAGCUCUUUCAGAUUCCCUUGAGGCAACCUGCCGGCGAAGGGUUUUAAUUAGCUGUACUACUUCGCUUAUAUGCCUAGGAUCCUUAGAACGGAAUGAAACUUCCUUUAAAUAAAUUGACCCUUGAAACUUCAGGGAGUUUGCAUCAUGAGGACUAAAUGGGGUGCCAGGUACAUUAAAGAUUAUACGGAUGUAGCAAUUCCGGUUACUGUCCUGCUGGCUGGAAACACUCUUCACAGUUGCCACGUGAAAAGGAACCAUGUUUCCAUAAAUGGGCAAGAGGAUGGCUUCAUUCUUCUGGUCAACUUGAAUCAUCAACUCUCUUGGAGGAGGAAAAUCAUUGACAUUCUUAUACGCGAUCAGAUCACCAAUUGUCUUCCCAGCACCACGACUAUCCAUUGAUGCAGAACCCCCACCCGCAAGCCUCCUAGCAGUUUCUUCAUUCUUUUGGCGGGCAAGUUCAGCUUGGUGCUGCCUACGUAGCUCUUCUUUUGACAUUUCAUGGUUGUCUGACCUAAGUGUGGCCUUACUCAUGGCACUCCUCCCAGCACCUCUACUUUCGGCUUUAGGUUUCGCCCGCUCUUCUACUUCAUCAUCAUCGUCAUUGAAUGAGUAUGCCACAUCCUUUACAGCUUUAGAGCUUGAAUGAGUCAAUACUUCUGGGGUCUCUUUACCAACAAUAACCGUAUCUGCUAAUAAGAGUGAAAAUAUCUGGGUCUUUGGGUCUUUUGUCUGUGACUGCAAGUUUUGAAAACCAAGAGAAACAUUGAAAACCAUGCCCGGCCUCAAAAUUCGAUCAUUCUUGGCAUUAAGAUUAAGCCCUGACUCACGAAACUCAAGGCCAAUUCCAGUUCCGGCAGUUUUAGUCAAGUUUGCAGCCAGCUCUGGAGCCUCCUUUUCAACUACUGUGAGUGCAGCUUGGUAUGCAGCACUUAACUUAUUCCCAGAUUUUAAUUUACUAAUUGCAGCUUCUUGAGCUUUGAGAAGAACCUCAUAAGCCUUGCUCUGCGUAGAAUUUGCAUCAAUCAGAAAGGUUCGAGCAACAUUUGAGCAGUAGCUGUUGUACCGUGAUCCAACAGCACAUAUAAUCACACUAGUAGAGUCAUAACAAAGGUUCUCAUCGUUGCUUGAAGCACUGGGCUUCAGAUCAAAUUCUCCUCCACUUUGAAAAAUUGGAGGAUAACAAAUAUCUACAUUCUCUGCCUUCAGCUUCACCUUAAUUCUUGCAGGUUCCAAUAUGGCCUUUUCUGUGUCAUCCAUCAAUGACGAAUGGGAAACUUUCUUUUCCUCAUCAAUGACCUUCUCGACCUUAGGUACCACAAAACUCCUCAUCACUGAUGAAGUCAAGAAUGCAGCUUUCUUCACAUUUGUGAUCUCAAUCUGGUCUUUGACAGCAAACAAGUCUGAGAACCCAUUAGUCACAUCACUUAACUCAAAAUUAGCAUUCUUCAACUUCUCAGUCCAAGUCUCCAAAAGCUUCCCUUCAGGGGCCUCUCUUGCUAUGUGUCCAACAACAGGAGCAUCAGAGCUCGAUUGGGCAUUUACAGCUCGAAAUAUGCUAUCCAUUAGUCCAGUUCCAUCCUGACUUUUGAGUUUCACAUGCAUAACAACUUCAACACCAACAGCCUCUUUUGCAGGCUUUAUCACAACAUCAAGAAGAGAGGCCUUUUUCUGGCUACACAAAACAUGGAUCUGCUUCUUUGUGAAAACCAUAAUAGUCUCUGGGAACUCAUAACCGAGCAACCAGAUAUUCAGUGCUGAGGAUUUCAGGUACCGCAGAUCCUCAGAAGUUGGAGGAGUCGCUAUGGCGAGUGCAUCAGAUUCACCCCAUAAAUCACUAUUAUGUUCUCGCCAAUGUGAAUAUAACAGCUUUAACCGCUUGCUGAAGUUAUUGAGAUCAAUGGCAUAUGAAUUGGUGUUCCCUGUGGGGGUUCCUGAUGCCUUCCCAUUUGCAGGUUUGACAUUACCUUUUCGAUGAUCAGCCAUUGAAGAAACUUUAGACAUGGAUAGUAGGAUUUUGGAAAUUCAGCUAGUUGAGUAUGCUGAUCAGCAUAAACUGUGAGAAAUAACAAAUGUUUAUCAGUUCGUGCCAUGCUCUCCAUAUAGUGAAAAGUUGACCUGAAAACUUUGCCUGAUUUAGCUUUGUGCCGCAUAGUAUCAAAUAGUACAAAUGGUACACAACAUCAUGAGCAGGGUAAAAUUUAAAUAUUACUCACUCUACGAAACUUAGCAUCAAAAUUUAUAAUCCCGAUUGAAAUUUAAGCUCAAAGAGCAAUCAGAAAUAAUACAUCAUUUACCACCCUUUUCAUAUCUUCAAAAACUUAUAAAACUUAAGAUCUUUUCUUUGUCCUAAACAGCAGUUAAUAUUGACAUUCAAGAUUAUACUUAUGGGCAUCACCUAAAGAUAAAAAAAUUAUGCUUAGAUUUGUUUUCUAGCAACUCUCAGGAAUGAAACAGAGUAUCAGACACACAAAAACAGAGUAUCCCUAUAUGCAGCAGUCAACAAAAUCAAUAUGAAUCAACUUCUAAUCAUCAAAACCCAAUAAAUAAAAGCAUUGAAAUAAUAAUUAAAUUUCCUUGAAGCACUUACUUUACGAGAGAUCGAACAAAUUGGCAAACUGGUUUCAAACUAAUUUCUCAUUUCACGCAAAUGAAGCUCCUGAUAGUUUGAUACGUCAUACCUGACCUGGUACCAAAUAUGAAUUAACAAAAUCAUUGCCAAGUUGCUAAAGUUUUAUGCUCAAAAUUUCAGAAUCUGAAAGAACCCAACAAGAUCUGUAUGGAGAAACUGAUUGAAUUCCACAUUGACUAGCUUUCGACGCAGAAUUCAAACACAAUAAUGGGAUUGAUGAAGCUAAAGCCAGCUCUUGGGCAAUAAAUUUUCAAGCUUUGAAAGAAAAAAGCACAACCCAGUAGAAUAAAUUGAUUGAAAUUUAAACUUUACCAGCUUCUGGCGAAGAAUUCAAUGGAGCAUUUCUCUGUCAAUUUGGUCUCUGAAACUGAUUCCAAAUAGAAAAGUAAAGCUGAUUUGUGAAUAUCCGAAGGACAAAUUUGGAUCGAAAUGAGAGGUUUUAAGAGGAUCAAUCUGGUGAAGAUUAAGAAGAUUGAGAAAGAAACUAAUAAUAAUUGAGAGAUAGAAACAGAGAGACGGAUGAAGAUGGAGCUAUCAAGUAAAGGAAGCCACUUGACCUGAUUUUUACUUUCUAUUUAUAUUUUGAGCUGGACAAAAUAAUUGCCACCUCAGCAAUACUUACAAUUUUUUUUGCCAACCUCAGCAAUUUCUUACAUAGUCGUUUGCCAAAAAUAAAAGGAAAUUUUUUUUAUAAGAAAAAAGCAAUACUUAUUAUUUUUGUAUCUAUCUCUAUAUAUAAAGCAAAAGACGAAUUGUGAAACAUUUAAAAUAUCAGAAAAUGUCAUUGACUAAUGCAAAUAUUAAGAAUUGAAAUUAUUAAUUAAAUGAGGAUAAUAUGGUAAAUUCACACUUUUUCAUAUUAAAAACAUUAAAAUAAAAAUAAAAAUCAGAUAAUGGAUCCUAUUUUAUGGAACACAACUACCUAUUAUCUGUUUUAAUUCUAAAAAUAAAAUAAAAAAUAAAAAAGAAAACCAAUUGGCUCAUGUACCUAGGGGUUAAACAAUAACGCUACGGGCACCAACUUGUUUAUCAACUUUGGAUACCAACACAUGUGGCACAUGACAUGGCAACCCAUGUCAUCUGCCAUCUUAUCUAUUUUAAUACAUAAUUUGUUAUAUAAAUAAAAGAAUUUCUCACUCAAAAAAUGGGGGGUUUUUUUAUAUUUAUUUUAAAUUAUAUCUUUUUUCGGUGAGAAAUUCUUUUAUUUAUAUAACAAAUUAUGUAAUUAAAAUAGAUGAGAUGGCAGAUGACAUGGGUUGCCAUGUCAUGUGCCACAUGUAUUGGUAAACAAGUUGGUGCCCGUAGCGUUAUUGUUAGUAUAUAUAAAACAAAAGACAGAGAAUGGUGAAAUAUUCAAAAUACCAGAAAAUAUCAUUGGUUAAUUCAAACAUUAAGAAUUAAAAUUAUUAAUUAAAUAAAGAUAAUGUGGUAAAUUCAUAUUUUUUUCAUAUUAAAAAAAUUAAAUUUAAGAACCAAAUCAGAUAAUAGGUCAUACUUUUAUGGAACAUAACUACUCAUAUUAUAUUUUCUUAAUUCAAAAAAUAAAAUAAAAAAGAAAAAAGAAAACCAAUUGGCACAUGCGUAAGUAUGUGUCAAUGGGCUAGUAAAAUAUAAAGUAAAAUGCACAGAAUGGUGAAACAUUUAAAAUACCAUAAAAUGCCAUUGGUUAAUACAAACAUUAAGAAUUGAAAUUAUUAAUUAAAUGAGGAUAAUAUGGUAAAUUCACACUUUUUCAUAUUAAAAAAAAUUAAAAUUAAAAGUAAAAUCAGAUAAUAGAUCUUAUUUUUAUUUAAUACAACUAUUCAUUAUCUUUUUUAAUUCUAAAAUAAAUUAAAUUUUUAUAAAAAAAAGCCUCUCGCAGGCGUAGAAGCCCGUGUAAAGAGACUAACUUUUGCAUAUAAAAAAAAAACGAAUAAUAACUAUUUUAGAAUGCUACUAACAAUUCUCUUAAUAUAUGUAUAUUACCUUUAAAAUAAAUUAAAAAAUUCACAAUGAGUGGAUUCGAAUGUAAAACAACUUUUGUAUACUGUCUGAUCCGUAAUAUUAUUAAUUCAUUCAUAUUAUAAAAUUUACAGCUGAUAAUCUAUUUUUCGAAAACUUAUGAAAUCAGAACUUCAUUUUAUUUAGAAUUGAAAAAGUUAAAAAAAAAUAUAUUUAAAUAAAAAAAAAACAGAGAGAAAAGGAAGACUGACCCAACCCAACAACUUUCGGCCUUAAUGGUAAAGAUCCGAUUGGGCCCAGCCCAAAUUUGAAUACUAAUUUAAACGAGAAGAGGACGACGUCGUUGAGGUCGACGAAAAAUAUUAACCCAGUCACACACUCUCUCUCGUCUCUCUUUGAUUGUCAAUCUCUCUCUAGACUCUCUGUUUCUCUCUCUAGCAAAGGUAAGCUUCCUCUUCCUCUCUCUCUCUCUCUCUCUCUCUCUCUCUCUCUGUGAAUCUCGAUGUGCCUCUACGAUUAAUUCAACGCAAAUAGUCUCUCUUGUUGGUGCAUCAAUAGAAUUCACCUUUUCCUGCUGUGGGUAUUUGCAAAAUUCUGAGAUUCAACUACCAAUCCCAGUUGGGUCUCUUUCACUUUCGUAUUUCCUUUGGGUUUUACGUACGAUUUCCAUAUACUGCACAAAUUUGGCUCUAUUUUUCAUGUGCGUUCUCUUAUCCUCUUUGAUCCACAUGGAUAAUUUCUAAAAAUUUGGGGUUUGAUUAGUGCUUAUUUCGAUUGUUGAUGAUUAAGAUCUGCUACUUUGUGUAUGUAUUGCAUGUUCAAUUACGCGUCUUUUUUUUUUUUUUUUGGUAAUUUCAGCUUUUAGGAUUAUGGGAUUAUGAUUCCUAGUAUUAGAAAUCAUAAUGUUAAUAUUUUGUUGUGAGCUUAAUUGAUUACACAUUGGUUCAUGUUUGGUUUUCAUAAUUAGUUAUAGGGUAAUUACUAAUAGUAUCUCAUGAUCCAUCAUGCAUUGUUUAUGUUGUGAUCAUGUGAGGCCUUAGGGGUUAAGACUUAGAAUUGGGUGGUUACUGAUCUUUGUUAGUGGAAUCUUAAAUGAAAUGUUAAUGGUGCUUGCGCCUAGUCAAAUGUUAGAAAUGUAAGAUUAUGAAAACAAGACGACUUUCUUUCUUGGGCGCCUUUAUGAAUUUUCUGAGACUAGACUAGCUUUAGUGUUGACAUAGAGGGUCUUGAUCUAUUCUCAAAUACAUUAUUUGCUUAUUCCAUUGGUACUUCUUUGUUAUGUUUGAUGCAUGGAUCCCACUCACCAUUGUUUUGCUCUCUAUUAAAAAAAUAAAAAAUUGAAUGUCCUUCUCUUUGUGUUUAUAUGUUUCCAUAGCCCAAUGCUGUGAGUACAUUUAAUCCUACUUGGAUGGUAUUUCAAACCUCUUCUCUUGCAUGUAGUAGCAGGUAUAGGUCAUGAGAGCAUUGCUACUAUUGAAAUAGCAGGUGAUUAUAACGAAAGUUAUGGGGACUGAAAAUCCUGGUCGUCCGAAUUUUACUACAAGACCUGCCACUGCACCUUUUGCUGCUGCUCCUCAGACUAUGAUGCCUUUUUCAUCUUCAGGUCCUGUGGUUGGACAGGAGGCCUCUGGUUUUAGACCUCCUCCACAUGUCACUCAACAGACGCCAUUUUCAUCAUAUGGGCCAGUGGUUGGAUCAGAUGCCUCUACAUUUAGACCUGCUCCACCAGUUGCUCCACACACUAAUGCACCUUUCUCAUCAUCUGGGUCUGCAGUUGGACCACAAACCUCUCCUUUUAGGCCUACCCCGCCAGCUAGGUUUAAUGAUCCAUCUGUGCCUCCUCCGCCAACAUCAAGCGUCCCACCUACCGUUGGAUCUUUCUCCCGUUUCCCAACACCACAAUAUCCUUUAACAGCGCAAGCACCCCCUCCACGUGGUCCACCUGUAGGCCAACUGCCAUUUCAACCUCCUGCCGGUCAAGCACCAUUUCAACGACCGCAGCAGCAGAUACCUUCUGUGCCAAUGGGAGCUCCACCUCAAAGCAUAAAUUCUGCACCACCAAGUGUGAAUGUUUUUCAGUCUCCGUCAGAUUCGUCAUUCCCAGCUCCCCCACCAAAUGUUCAUGCAUCGUUUCCUGGAUUUGCUCAUAAGCAGUCUAGUGCAGAUCCACAAGCCCCACCCGUCCAGUCUCCAUUUCUUACUCAUCAAGGAAACUAUGCAGCUGCUCCACCAGCAGUAUCUUCCCCUUUUGCUGCUCACCAAGGAGGUUAUGCUCCACCUACUCCAGGUGCAGCUCCACUAGGUUACCAGUCAAGAGACCACAUGCAACAUCCUGGCUCCGGACCUCCCCUUGGUGCUGUCCAAACCCUGACGGAAGACUUCAGCUCACUAUCUAUUGGGUCUGUUCCCGGAACAAUUGAACCUGGACUUGACCCUAAAGCUUUGCCUAGGCCUUUGAGUGGUGAUGUGGAGCCAAAAUCACUUGCUCAGUUGUACCCCAUGAAUUGCCAUCCUAGAUUUCUACGGCUUACAACCGGUGCAAUACCAAGUUCUCAGUCGUUGUCUUCAAGGUGGCAUUUACCUUUAGGAGCGGUUGUUUGCCCACUUGCUGAACCACCUGAUGGGGUUAGUGCAUCUAUACUUAGAAUGAUCAAAAUUGCUUAAAAUUGGAUUCGCUGUAAUUAUUUUGUUUCUUGUUCUCUCCUUAGGAGGAAGUUCCAAUUGUUAAUUUCGGUUCUGCUGGGAUUAUUCGCUGUAGAAGAUGUCGGACAUAUGUGAAUCCGUAUGUAACAUUUACAGAUGCUGGAAGAAAGUGGCGUUGCAACAUCUGUGCUUUACUUAAUGAUGGUAAAUGGACUAGCUCUUCUUCUUUCCCUCAAAGAAUAAAUUGUACUUAUUUUUUGUAAACAAAUGUACCAUAUGUGGAAGGAUGAAAUGUUGACACAAUAUGCAUCUAAGAUCAACUUUUUGCAUUCCUAUGUUGGGUAACAUUAAGGAGCUGAGUUUGCCUUCCAUUUUACUCAUUGUUGUCCAUUGUACUUACCUAAAUAGGUAUUUGGGCAAUGUAUCCUGCAACAUAUGUAUGGAAUACUUCUGCUUGCUCCAAAAUAAAGUUAUUAUAUUCAUUCACCAAAACUGUUGUCCAUUCAUCAUGAUGAAUGGACAACAGCUUUGGUGUAUUUUUGUUAAAGAUGGUCUACCUGAAUGCAGGGUCAAGUUUUCUUGCUGGAUACUGCUUGUUUUUGUUUGCUAAAUUUAAUCACUGUGUUGCGCUGUUUGGUUUUUGGAAAUAACUAUCAUAAUUUGUAGUUACUUUCUUGUUCAGUUCCUGGUGAUUACUUUGCUCAUUUGGAUGCCACUGGCAGAAGAAUUGAUUUGGAUCAGCGACCUGAGCUUACACAGGGUAGCGUGGAAUUUGUUGCUCCAACUGAAUAUAUGGUGCGGCCUCCUAUGCCGCCACUGUAUUUUUUCCUCAUUGAUGUUUCCAUAUCAGCAGUCAGAAGUGGUAUGAUUGAGGUAUACACUUUUUCUAAUGCUUUUACAGACAAGCUGUUUAUUUUAUGAAAUAUUACUAAUAUACAACUAAAGAGCCUUUGGGGCUAUUGUGUCUGGUCUGGUUCAUAGAUAUCCAGUAUUGCUUGUGUCUAUUGUUCUUGGUUGCCCCUGAGAGAAUAAUGACACAUGUGGUUUGAUUGAGAUUAGGAAGAAACGACAUACUUGUUAACAAACAAUAUCAUAUAUGUUAUGUUGUCUGGUUUUAUUUUAUAAAGUAGGCUGGUUCAGAUGCCUAGCUUUGGGCGUGUUUUCUUACAUGACACAGAUAGAAUAGGGUUUGCAUGCAACUAGUACUCAACUCUUGAGUGAUUGAGUUACUGAAAUUCUCUUGUUUAUAAGUAUUCAUGUAAGGACUUUCACAGUAUGAAUCCCAAUGGCCGGUUCUGUGUCUUUCCAUUUAUUGUAUUUUAUUAUCUCUUUGAUUAAUUACUACUAAAGGCCUGUCUACCUCUCUGUUGGAAUUGUUGAAAUUUAUUGAUUACCUCUUUGCAGGUUGUGGCCCAAACUAUACGGUCAUGUUUGGAUGAGCUUCCUGGCUACCCCAGAACACAAAUUGGGUUUGCAACUUUUGACAGCACAAUACAUUUUUAUAAUAUGAAGGUAUGUGCUUUCUGUUACUGCCUGUUGUCAUAGCGUAUUAUUUCCUGUUUCAUCCAACUCCCAACGUAUGUGCUGAGUUCCUGUGGGUUUCACAUGCAGUCUUCUCUGACUCAGCCUCAAAUGAUGGUGGUCUCAGAUCUGGAUGACGUAUUUGUUCCAUUGCCAGAUGAUCUUCUUGUCAAUUUAUCUGAAUCAAGAAGUGUUGUGGAGACUUUCCUUGAUAGCUUGCCGUCCAUGUUUCAAGACAAUGUUAAUAUGGAGUCUGCUUUUGGCCCAGCUCUGAAGGCCUCACUUAUGCUUAUGGUCUGUUAGCUUUCUCACACGUGGCAUUUUGAACUUUGCCUUUGGCUAAAAGAUUCAAUCAAUUAUAGAGUAGUGUGUUAAUUUUUGUAUUUCUCGAGUAAUUUGCUAUUCAGUUACUUCUUUAUGCAUUUCUAAGAGUUUGGUUGUUCAUUUGCUCUGCAUUAACUUCUGCACGCAUGUGUGUUUAUGCAGAGCCAACUUGGGGGAAAAUUGUUAAUUUUUCAGAAUACACUGCCAUCUCUUGGUGUUGGCCGCUUGAAGUUGCGUGGAGAUGAUCUUCGUGUCUAUGGAACUGAUAAAGAGCAUCCACUGAGACUACCAGAGGAUCCUUUCUACAAGCAGAUGGCUGCAGAAUUUACCAAGUUCCAGAUAGGGGUAGAUGUAUAUGCCUUCAGUGACAAGUACACUGAUAUAGCCUCAUUAGGUACAUAAUGGUGAUUUUAUCUUAUUCUGUUUUCACUAUCAUAGAACCAAAGAUCAAGAUGAUGUUGGAAGUCGGAGGAAUAUCAGUAGAAGAUCCUGGCUUUCAUCAUAGUUAAUAUUUUUGAAGAAAGAAUCUGAAUUUGCAUAUUUGAAACUUUAUACAGCAGCUAAUGCUAGGCCCAUACCAGGGUGCGAUGCUUAUUGUGUUUAAUGUAUGCUCUCCCAUGAUCUUCUUGUGCUAUGAGAAAAAGUUCAGUCAUGAGUGCAUAGAAGUUGUAUACUAUAUAACUGCUAUUGGUCUUCCAAAUGUAGGUACUCUGGCAAAAUAUACCGGGGGUCAGGUGUAUUAUUACCCAAAUUUUCAAUCCACAAUUCAUGGAGAGAAGUUGAGACAUGAGUUAGCCAGAGACCUUACUAGGGAAACUGCCUGGGAAGCAGUCAUGCGCAUAAGAUGUGGAAAAGGUCUGCUAUUAAUGAUUCCCCAGAACAACCCCAUUUGGGCUCACAUACAUAUAUGUCUGUUGGAAAAUAUGCUAAUGUUUUGUUACUUGUUUAUACUUUUAGGAGUCCGCUUUACAUCUUAUCAUGGGAACUUUAUGCUAAGGUCCACCGACUUACUAGCACUUCCAGCUGUAGAUUGUGAUAAAGCAUUUGCGAUGCAGUUAUCUCUUGAAGAGACGUUACUAACUAUUCAGACAGUAUAUUUCCAAGUUGCUUUGCUGUAUCCUUCAGUUUUAACUAUACAUAGACAUGCCUGUAUGGUGCUUGUUUAUCUUUUGAUUGUUCACAUAUCAUGCUGUCAAUGUGAGUUGUGAACACUACUUCUGUUAUUACUAUUGGUAUCUCUUUAAAUUUCCAUUAUAAAAUCAGUCCCUUCUGAUAUUCUUCUUCUGAACCGAAGUACUUUUUUGAGGUUACAUAAUGAAGUUGUUUCAUUCAUUAUACUCGAUCUGGAUAUAUGACUGUCUAGUUUAAAUUGCUUUGGGGGGAAUUCCACAAUGGUAUUGUGAAGGUUAUCAAUUUGUGAAGUGUCUUUAACAUUUUAAAGAUACACUGCAUCCUGUGGAGAAAGGCGUAUUAGAGUACAUACAGCUGCAGCACCGGUGGUUACAGAUCUGGGAGAGAUGUACCGACAGGCUGAUACAGGUGCCAUUGUCACCUUGCUUUCCAGGCUAGGUAGGCAACUGAAACUCUAUUCUAGUGGUGUAGUAUAUAUUUUGAAUCUCGAUUUUCUCAAGUUCUUCAGAAAUAAUGUGCAGCAAUUGAAAAAACUUUGUCCCAUAAGUUGGAAGAUGCUCGGAACUCUUUGCAGCUAAGAAUUGUCAAAGCCCUCAAAGAAUUUCGAAAUCUCUAUGCUGUACAACACCGCUUGGGAGGGAAGAUGAUAUACCCAGAGUCUCUGAAGUUCUUGCCUUUGUAUGGAUUAGCACUUUGUAAAUCAGCACCUCUUCGUGGAGGGUAUGCAGACGUGUCACUUGAUGAACGUUGUGCAGCAGGCCACACAAUGAUGACUCUACCUGUUAAAAAACUGUUGAAGCUCCUAUAUCCUAGUUUGAUACGGCUCGAUGAGUAUCUUUUGAAGGUAAUAAGAUUCCAUUAACUUAAGUUGAGUGAUGUCAUUUAUCAAUCAUUAAAUUUGUUUCUUCUUGUAUUUGCAGGCAUAUGCUGAGGCUGAUGACUUUCAAAGCAUAGAGAAUAGGUUACCACUAGUUGCUGAGAGCUUAGAUUCCAGAGGCCUUUACAUAUUUGAUGAUGGGUUUCGCUAUGUUCUAUGGUUUGGUAGAGUUCUUCCACCUGAUAUAGCUAAGAAUUUACUUGGGACCGACUUUGCAGCAGAGUUAUCAAAGGUAUGACAAAUUCCCUUAAAGACAAAGUUAAAAAAGAAAGUAUUAUGAGAGGUCCAAAAGGAGGGGUGGGGUGGCAAAGAGUUUGAUCAUCUUUCACGUCCAUGUGCAAGCAUGCAUCAUUACUUUCUGCAUAGUCUUGUUUUUCAACUUUUGAUGGAUUUACUUAAAUUUAUAUAAGAGAUCUUCCAUUUUAAUUUUUUUUGGCUGCGAUCAGGUUACCCUUUGUGAGCGCGAUAAUGAAAUGUCGAAGAAGUUAAUGAGGAUACUUAAGAAAUUUAGAGAAAGUGAUGCUUCUUAUUAUCAGCUGUGCCAUCUUGUAAGACAAGGUGAGCAGCCCCGAGAAGGUCAUCUUGUACUUGCCAAUCUGGUUGAGGACCAGAUGGGGGGAACCAAUGGUUAUGUUGAUUGGAUAAUUCAAGUACACCGACAAGUCCAGCAAAAUCCGUAGUAUAGAGGUAAUGUUCUCCCGUUAAAUUUUUGUAUUUAUUUGAUGAUUGGAGGUUCGAAGAAAAUUAUCGGAACUGCUAAACGAAACUGAUUUCGAUGUUGCAGGAUAUUUAUUAAGCUAAUUGCAUGCCUCAUCUGUAAAGUAGUGGAGCCUUUGUUCAAUAUGGUGAAUAAUUUGAAUUUACCCAUGGGAUCAUCCCCUGCCCUAGAGUGGAGGCUGGUUGAGUUGAAGAAAUGGGUGGUUACCAUGCAAGAUUUUUGGACAAUUCGUUACUUCAUCGCAGGAUGCAAUCAUCAAAGGAGAUGUACUUUAGUAGUCAUAUAAUCUUUAUUUUGCCGUCUUCAUGUUGGGAAGAAACACGCAUUAAAUUUUUGUAUGUGAUAUCAUUUUCUUUACUUUGUUGUUAGCAAUUUCCCUGCGCUGUUAUAAUUCCAUAUUUUUCCCCCUCCAGUCGGAUUGUUUAGCCAGAGGACAGAGGUGGUGUGAUAAGUGCACCAUGCUUACAAAACAUGUUGGAUUUUUUUUGUUUUUGUUUUUGUUUUCCUGGUCAGAUGUUGGAUUUUGUUGAUAUAUUUAACAUUUUAAUCGUAAUACUUAAAAAGGUUAUUUCUCUUUUUCUAUCCACAAAAUUUUCUACAUGAUAUGAUAAAAAUUCAUCCGAAACCACUAUUUCAAGAAUGUUCAUGCUUCAAAUGAAAAUAUUGGUAAUAUCAUAUUUUUCCUUUUGUUUCCUCCCCAGAAAACGGAUCGUUAAAUUUAUAGUUUAUAUGCACUGAAACUUUAACCUAUAGAUUUGUAUAUAUCAUAAGAUGACUAGACUUAAUAAAAAGAUUUAAUUCCAACCUAAUUAUUUUCUAUUAUGUAUAUCUUCUUUAUUUGGCCACAGUUAGAAAAAGGAGGGGGAAAACUUCACACAUCUUGUAUCAUGCGGGUUUAAACUUACGAUCAUUUGGAAGCGCGCCAAAAAUCUAAGUCAAUUCAACUAACUCGUUGGUCUAUUAUGCACCAUCCUCCUACAAGAAUAUCAAAGCUUCGGAUGCCGAAGUUGUCUUUUGCAAGAAGUAGAGAGGAAAAAUAAGGGAGGUUUUGAUAUUUUUCCAAGAGAAUUUAUUUAUGUUAUAAUACUAUGAAACCCUAGUGUGGAUAUUGAAUAUGUAAAUUGAAAUUAUUUUGCCCUAAUAACUAUCGAGUAAUGAAUGAUGCUGAACUAUUUUUUAAAUUAAUUUUUUUAUAUAUAAGUUCGAACUUGGGGCAAAUAGAUAAGUUCAUUGUCUUGAUCAAUUGAGCCUAAUAAUAUUAGAAGUCCAGCCAUACACCAUCAAUAAAAUAAUUAAAUGUACUAUGUAGGAAAAUAAAAAUUAUAAUUUAUGAAAAUGUUUCUCUAAAUUUACCAUGAUAAAAAAGAGGUUUGGAUAGUUUUUAAUUUUUUAUCCAAAUAAUGCCCGCGGUUUGACCACUCCUGGUUUGACCAAACAGUAUGAAAAUCGCGGACUCGAGCAAUAUUAGCUAAACGAGAGUGGGAGAGAGCUUCAAAUUCCUCAGAGUUCCAAAACCUUAAACCCAAAUCUCUGAAAACCCUAAUUAGUAUCUGCAAGCCCCUUUCUCUGUGGAAUGGGAAAGGGCCAACCAGAGCAACAGCAACCACGGAUUUCAGUGAAAGACACAGUGUACAAGCUACAACUCGCUCUCCUCGAAGGCAUCAAGACCCAAGACCACCUUUACUUGGCUGGCUCUAUUAUCUCUCGCUCCGACUACAAUGACGUCGUCACAGAGCGCACCAUAGCCAACCUCUGUGGCUACCCUCUCUGCUCCAAUGCCUUGCCUUCCGACUCUUCUCGUCCCCACAAGGGUCACUAUCGCAUUUCGCUCAAGGAGCACAAGGUCUACGACCUCCACGAGACCUACAUGUAUUGCUCCUCACGCUGUGUUAUCGAAAGCAAGGCUUUUGCUCAGAGUUUGGGCGAGGAGAGGUGCGAUGUCUUGGAUUUUGGAAAGGUUGAAAGGAUCUUGAGGGCUUUUGGGGAUGUAGGUUUUGAUAAAGGUGAAGUGGGUUUCGGGGAGAUUGGGGAUUUGGGGAUUUCUAAGUUGAAGAUUGAAGAGAAGGUUGAAACGGGUAUUGGGGACUUGGGGAUUUCUAGGUUGAAGAUUGAAGAAAAGAGUGAAACACAUAUAGGGGAUUUGGGCGCCGUUGGUCCAUCUAAUGCUAUUGAAGGCUAUGUUCCACAGAAAGAGAGGAUAUCCAAGCCAUUGGGUUCCAAAAAGAACAAAGAAGGUAUGUGGGCUUGAAAUCUUUAUAUGGGGUCUGUUGUUUUUGUGAAUUUCAUCAAAUUGAAUUGUAUGUAUGUUGAAGAGUCUAAUCUAGUGCUUGCUCAGGUUGCUAGAAUUCGACUGUUUCUUGGUUGUUGUUUUCUGUUAAUGUUGUUAAAGUGAUUCAGGAAUGUUAUAUUGUAGGGUCCAAAGGUAAAGAUGCGAAGAUGAGCAGUGGGAUGGAUAUAAUUUUUAAUGAGAUGGAUUUCAUGAGUACUAUAAUCACUAGUGAUGAAUAUAGUGUGUCAAAAAUCCCGCCAAGUGUGGGGGAGCCUGAUUUUGAAACCAAGUUUAAAAAAUCAAAAGGAAAAGUUGGUCUUAACAAGAAUGAUUCUGUAAAGAAAUCCAGACAAUCAAAAGGGGGGAAAAAUAAGAAUGUCAAGAAAGAUGAUGUUUGCAUUCGAGAGGUGCCUUCGACCUCAGAUGCUUCACAAACUGUUUUGAAUGGAAGCACUAAAGAAGAAAAAGAGGAGUUCAUUGUUGAAAAGGCUGAGCAAUCAGGUGAGGCCUUGCUAAGAUCCUCUCUUAAACCUUCAGGGACAAAGAAACUUAAUCGUUCUGUUACUUGGGCUGACGAGAUGAUUGAUAGCACUGGGAGCAGAAACCUUUAUGAGGUGAGAGAGAUGGAACAGAUAAUGGAAUACUCUGAUGCAUUUAGCAGUAUGCACAAGCCUUCAGUGGAAAAUAAAGUUGGUUGCUCUAAUACCUGGUUUGAUGAGAAGAUUGAUAGCACGAAGAGUAAAAAUAUUUGCGAGGUUAGAGAAGUGCAAGAUGCUGAUGUUUUAGGGAGUUUGGACUUGCAAGAAAAUGAGAUUUUGGAAUCAGCAGAAGCCUGUGCCAUGGCAUUGAACCAGGCAGCAGAAGCUGUUGCAUCUGGAGAAUCUGAUGUCAGUGGUGCUGGUAUGUCAUUGUGUGGAAGUGUAGUUAAUAGGUAAUAAAUUACACUUGUUGAAUUUGAUAUGUAAUAGUGUUCUUUCUAUGUGUCCUUUCAAAUAUCAGUUUCGGGAGCUGGAAUUAUUAUAUUGCCACGUCCAGAUGGUUUGGAUGAAGAAGAGCCUACUGAGGAUGUUGAUAUGCUUGAAUCAGAACAAGCUCCUCUGUGGCCAAGAAAGCCUGGAAUUCCAUGUUCUGAUUUGUUUGACCCUGAGGAUUCAUGGUUUGAUGCUCCACCAGAGGGUUUCAGCGUAACCGUGAGAGUGCAUUUCUUUUUACUUCUAGAGGGGGGUGGGUUGAUUUAAUAUCAUUGUCAGGCUAUUUUUCUGAUAGUAUGCAACCUUUCAUAUAUUUCAGUUAUCACCUUUUGCAACAAUGUGGAAUUCACUCUUUACAUGGAUAACAUCUUCUACAUUAGCGUAUAUAUACGGGAGGGAUGAAAGUUUUCAUGAAGAAUUUCUCUCAGUUAAUGGGAGAGAAUAUCCUCCUAAGAUUGUCUUGGCUGGUGGUCGCUCUUCUGAAAUCAAGAAAACUCUGGACGAAUCUUUUGCUCGGGCUCUACCAGGAGUUGUUUCCGAACUCAGGCUUCCAACACCAAUAUCUAGUUUAGAGCAAGGAAUGGUAUUGAUUUUGAAUCUUUUUGUGUUUUGUUUAAAUUGUGAUGAAAUAUUAUAUGAACGGACUUUCAUUAGUUUGUCCCUUCUAGUCAAAUAUAAAAGAUGCUGAUUUGUUGUAUAGAAUUCUAGUAGCAUCCUUUUUAUAACCCACAAUUGAAAAUAUAUGUUAGUACUUAUUUACGGUGGCUCUUGAUGUGAGAUAAACCAGGGUUAUCAUACGCAUUGACAUGUGCAUAAUGAUUACCAUGUUGGUUGUUUUCACACCUGUGAUUUCAGUGUGACAUGAUUAUGAUAACUUAUUUUUAAUUUUGUAUAAACAUAAUUCAUUGUUUAGUAUCAUGAUUCUGUUAUGAACCUGUUUAAUUGAAUUAUUUAUUGUUUGGAAGCUGUCACUGAGAGGUUUCUGUACAGGGCCGCAUGUUGAAUACAAUGUCCUUUAUUGAUGCGAUACCAGCAUUCAGAAUGAAACAGUGGCAAGUGAUUGUUCUUCUUUUCCUCGAGGGUCUCUCUGUUUGUAGGAUCCCUGCACUCACUCCUCACAUGACAAAUAGAAGGAUGCUGUUUUACAAGGUGAGGCUGAACACUCUUUUCUUUCUCAUUAACUUAUUUGUUUACAAUGAGAAUAAGAUGGAGGUAAGCUGUCUUAGAUUUUCUUAUCGGCUAAAUGUAAGGAUGCAUAGACUAAUGAUAAAUUAAUAAUGAUGUUAAUGCCGAUGAUCAUGUUGUCCAGUAAUUAACAUACUAAAUUUCGGAUUUUGAAUUUUAUAUACUGGAUAGUCGGGGGCUUUUUUAAACAAAAACCUUAAGCUGUACUUGCGAUUUUGGUUUUGGCUAAAUAGGUGCUGGAGAACACCCAGAUAAGUGCAGAACAGUACGAGCUUAUGAAGGAUCUCAUAAUACCCCUUGGCCGAGCACCCCAAUUCUCAGCUCAGAGUGGUGCCUAAUGCCAAGGAACAUUGACUUCAAACGGUGUCAGCCUGCAUGCCAUAUACGAGGCCUAAAGCUGUCUUUGACGCGUGCAGCCGGAAGAAAGACUUGAAGUCUGAAGCUUUGUACAUAUCUCUUGCAGCCAGAAGAAAGACUUGGAAGUCUGAAGCUUUGUACAUGUUUUCUGAAUAUUUAAAGGAACAAAAAAUGUAUAAAACUGAGAGAUUUUCACAUACUGAAUUAUUUAAAUGUGUCAUUAUUGUUGGUCAAAUUGUUGAAGGAUUAGGAUAAGGAGUUAAUAUGACAGCACGACUUUGUGCUAGCCACAAUCUUAUUAGUCUUGAUUUGUUCAUUAAGUUUGACUAUUAGGCAUCCAAUUAGUGUCUUUGUUCAGAUUCAGACACGUUGUUGGUCUGCAAGUUGGAAAUUUUGGUUGUUAUUAUGAGUGGUUAUCAAUUCAUGAGAUCUGCUUAAGGUUAGGCCUCUUCUUUUAGCGGCAAAAGGUGUUGUGGCAUAUUCGCAUGUUGGAUUUUCACUCUGGGCGCUCCUCCUUGACAAAAAGGGCACCCUCCACAAAAAGACAGAUAUGCCCACCCAAAAAAGACAUUAUCCGGCGUUAGGUCUGUCUGAUAAAAAAUAGGGUAGAAUUUUUCUGGGAUUUGGACCUUUUAUGUUUUAUUUCUUUCUGUUAUGCCAAAAAGUAAUAUAUAUAUAUAUAUAUUUAUUUAUUUAUUUUAAGAACAAAAAGUAAUUGAUUAAUGUGAAGCAAAACCAGCUUGUGAAAAUGUGGGUGCCCUUAUGCAAAAGGUGCCAAAAUCAAUAACUUUUACAAUUUGUUACUUUCCUGCCUUUUUAAAACUGUGUGAGAGUUAGUUCAGUUAGCAAGGGUAUUGAGUUGGUUCUCUUCUAUUCAAGUUGGAGCUUCUUUUGAUAGAUUAUAUUAAUUUAAACUAUCACUGGUAUAAAAAUAAAAAUAAUAAUAAGAGAGAGUCUAAGAGCUUUUUAAUAUUUUUGUAUAAAGUAAUUACGAGUAUUUAUCCUUACAAUUGAAGUCUUGUGUUCAAUUAUUUAUCUUAUGUAUUUAAAAAAAAAACUUUAAAAAAAGAGGAAAUUUAAAAGAAAGUUUGACUGGUCAAAAAAGCAAGGCACAGGCUUCUUAUUUAUGAGAUUUUAUAUUUCUUAUUUUAAAAACUGUAUUAAUAUUUAAUGUAAAUAAAUUAUUAAUAACUUGAAAAAUAUUGAGCCAAUAAGAAAGGGUCCUUCUUUGACUGUCCCCAGCGCAUCACAGCACCACCACACAAAAAAAGCAAAAAUAAACAAAACACACAAACACACAAAUCCAAAAGAGGAAACAGACCUAGAUCCUCUCUGAUCAUGGAUCUACGCCUCUGAUUCUACAAGACGGGCUUAGUUUUUCAGAUGAUCCCGCCUUGAGCUUUGCCAAUUAUUGCUUAAUCGGUACAAUUUUCUUCCUCUGAGUAUCUUCUCCUAUAAAGCUCCUUUUUUAUCUUUCCUUUUUUGGGUUUUUUCUGUGAUAUAUUUGGUGGUUUUUGUUGGUUUCGUUUUGGGUAUUUGGAUCGGCUUGUUUUGGUAUUCAGGAUUAAGUGUCUGAACUCCCCUUUUCUCUAUUUUUUAUUAUUAUUUAUAAAUAAAUGUUUUGUUUUGUUUUUUUUUUUGGUGGUAGGGAGAGAAUGAUUAUGACUGGAUAUUCAGGUAGUUCAUUUGUGUGAAUUUUGGGUUGUAUUGUUUGGCUUUAAUUGUUGGAUCUCGGGUUUCAUGUUAAUAUGUUUAUGGGUAUGUAUAGAAGGUCAAAGACUUGCCUUUUAUUUGCUUCAUCUCAUUUGUGGGGUUCAUUUAUUGUUCUUUUUUGUGCUGUACAUAAAAUUUCCGUUGUGGCCUGUGGUUUACAAAUUUUGAUUUCUUCCUGUAUUUAUCUAUUUUCUGGUAAAUAUGAGUUUAAUUUUCAGCUAAGCUGAGUUGAUCGGCUACAAAUUUCCUGUUUUCUAUAUUUCAUAAAACUUUACGUAGCUCUUAGUAUGGAUUGUGGAUAAUGGGUAAAGAAAUGCUACUCAGAUUGUACAUAUUGCAGUUUCAUAGUCGCAAUUUUAACUGUCACUGCUUAAUUGAUUGCAGUAGGUUGAUGGUUGGUUUAAUCAGGGAAAAACAAUAAAGAGAGCAGAACAGGUUUGCAACGAAUGGCUUCAGUGGGUGUAGCACCUACUUCAGGUCUGAGAGAACCCAGUGGUCAUGCUGUUGGUGUGGAUAAGCUGCCAGAGGAGAUGAAUGACAUGAAAAUUAGGGAUGACAAAGUAUGUAAGCCAUUGGUUAAGUGUUUAUCAUAGUCUUUUCUCCUUACAGUUUAUUUUUUAUUUUUUGGAUUAUUAAUUGUCUGCUAUUGAAUAGUCAUGGUCUGCCUCACUGAUGCAGGAAAUGGAAGCCACAGUCGUUGAUGGUAACGGAACAGAGACAGGCCAUAUAAUCGUGACAACUAUUGGUGGUAGAAAUGGCCAGCCAAAGCAGGUAUAUUGUUUCUCCUGUGCACAUUAGUCUCCAGUUGAUGUAGACACUGAUAUUUUCUUUCCCCAGUUUAUUUAAUUGCAUCUCUAACGGAGUGUUGUAUCUUUUGUAAUAUUAGACAAUUAGUUACAUGGCUGAGCGUGUUGUCGGGCAUGGAUCAUUUGGAGUUGUGUUCCAAGUAAGAUUCUAGUCUUUUGCUUUAUAAUUCACUGUUGAAAAUGUACGGCCCUUCAAAUCAGUAGCAGUUUUCCUGUUAUUGAAUUCUAAUUUUUUAUGUGUACAGGCAAAGUGCUUAGAGACUGGUGAAACUGUGGCCAUAAAGAAGGUUCUGCAAGACAAGAGGUACAAGAACCGGGAGCUGCAAACUAUGCGUCUUCUUGACCACCCAAAUGUUGUUUCUUUGAAGCAUUGCUUCUUUUCAACGACUGAAAAGGAUGAACUUUAUCUUAACCUGGUACUUGAGUAUGUUCCUGAAACGGUUCAUCGUGUAAUUAAACACUAUAACAAGUUGAACCAACGGAUGCCUCUGAUAUAUGUUAAACUCUACACAUACCAGGUAUGAUGUCAAUGAAAGAAUUUCAUGUGUGCCUUUUCUUUUUUCCUUUGUGUAAGUUGCACUUGAAGAAUAUGGUGAUGUUUUCUAUGUUUCAACAUUUUUUCCUUUUUAGAAUACAAUUUUACAUCAAUUGAGCAGUUUGUUGUAUACUUUAAAUAUAGGUUAAGAAUUCAACUGUUAGACUAAGGUCUUACUCCAUGAGUCCAAGGCUUAGGCUAAUUGAGUCUUAGAAUUGUGUCUCAAAGCAUGUUGUUUGUUCCCUGCCCUUGAGGGUUUAUGUUUUUGUUAGCUGAGAUUUGCCUCAUAUCAUCCAUAUUUGGCAGAUCUUUAGGGCGUUAUCCUACAUUCACCGCUGCAUUGGAGUGUGUCAUCGGGACAUUAAGCCUCAAAAUCUUCUGGUAUGUACUUUGAUUCUCUUAUCCCUAUAUGCCUAUUAAUAUGUAGUUAACCAUAUGGUUGUGUGCAGCACUGCCUUCCUCUGUGUGUGUGUGUGUGUGUGUGUGUGUGUGUGUGUGGAGGGAUGGGAGUGGUUAUGAAGUAAAUAAAACAGCAAAGGUUUGAAAUUUGGUUCAUAUUUUUUGCAGGUGAAUCCGCAUACCCACCAAGUAAAAUUGUGUGACUUUGGAAGUGCCAAAGUUUUGGUAUGCUUUGUUUUGUUGUUGUCCUUGUCUUCCAAUUGUACUCAUAUUGGCUUUUGCUUCAUUGGCGUAUAUUCUUGUACUGUAUUAUUAUUGAGCAGGUAAAAGGAGAGCCAAAUAUAUCUUAUAUCUGCUCUAGAUACUACAGAGCACCAGAACUCAUAUUUGGAGCAACUGAGUAUACUACAGCUAUUGAUGUCUGGUCUGUUGGAUGUGUUCUUGCUGAGCUAUUGCUUGGACAGGUACAUGCUUUGCUCAAUUGCAUUUUCUGAAAUAUAUGUUUUGUACAAUUCUAAUAGAAAGGAAUUUUCUAUUGCAUCAGCCUCUGUUUCCCGGUGAGAGUGGAGUUGACCAGCUUGUGGAGAUUAUCAAGGUAAGUUUAACAUCUUUAUCAGUUCAGUACAAGUUACAUAUUUAAUCUUAGGUAUCAAUGAAUAGGGAUAAAAGGAUUGUUUAGAUGCUUGUGUUGGACAUGCAUUACUCUCUGUACUUGGUGAAAAUAUGGCAUCUUGAACUUUGAUCUUUUAUCGUGUGGUGAUUCACUUCUUGCGUUUUCUCUUUGUAGGUUUUGGGCACUCCAACAAGGGAGGAAAUCAAAUGCAUGAAUCCUAACUAUACGGAGUUCAAGUUCCCUCAAAUCAAAGCUCACCCGUGGCACAAGGUAUUAUGAAGGAAGAUAUUAAUGUAUCAUUUUAUAUUUCUUAAACCAGACAGCAUAUUUAUAUCUGUUAUUUCCUUAGAUAUUCCACAAGCGUAUGCCUCCAGAAGCUGUUGAUCUGGUUUCAAGACUGCUGCAAUACUCUCCGAACUUGCGGUGCACAGCUGUGAGUACAGGAGUUUUUUAAUGUCCACAUUGUUCAUUCUUUCCAUUUUUUUUUUCUUUUUACAAAACUCCAUUAAGAAAAUUUCAUUAUGUGCUAGUAAUAGAAAAUUCAUUUAAUUUUUUAUAUUCCCAUUAUCUUCAUUUUGUUAAUUUUUCAACCAUGUUUCUAUUUCUAACGCAGCUGGAUGCCUUGACCCACCCCUUUUUUGAUGAGCUUCGUGACCUGAACACCCGCCUGCCGAAUGGACGUUUCCUUCCACCUUUAUUUAACUUUAAAUCUCACGGUAUGAUGCUGUUCUGAGAGACAAUUUCUUUUUUCUUCCUCUAAGCUUUGUAUCAAAGUUCUUACUCUUGGUCUAUCAAUCAGAAUUAAAGGGGGUGCCUGUGGAGAUUUUGAUGAAAUUGAUCCCAGAGCAUGCGAGAAAGCAAGUCCCUUUCUUGGCAUCUGAUUAGUUUGUGAGAUGUGAGAAACCUCAAGUGUGGUCCCAUAUGGAAGCUAUGUGUUCUCCUGGCCUGCUAUUUGUCUCCAUUAUAUUUAAUGUACCUCAAUGUAUGACCUUGUUUUGUAAUAGCAGAUUUAGAUGUAUUCUAUUGAAUCUUGUAUUGUCCAAACCUCAAUGGGUAUUAUGAUUGCCUUAUCCCUGUAUCCCCAGAUUGUAACAUCACAUAGAAGACAAACAGCAGCAUUUAUCUAAAUGUUUAUCUGUAUUUGUAUUUCUAGAAGACAGACCAAUGUUCUCUGGUUUCGUAUUUCCAAUGUAAUCUAGUUGUUUGGCAGAUAGUUUAUUGAAGGCUACUUUCCUCUCAUUGUAGUAGGAAAAAAGCAAUUCCCAUAGAUUCUAAGUUGAAAUCAUUUGUGUCAACCUCAGCCUAUGCAAUUUUUAGACAAUUCUGUCAAAGUGAUGGAUAUCUCUCAACAAUAAACCUUCCAAUCCAAGUAUUGGUUUUCUUGAUUCCAUCAAAGUGAUGAGCCGGAAUUUGCGUCAAGAUGGCUUAUGUAGUCAUCCAAGUGGGUAAUGCCAACGAAGCUUUUACAUCACGGAAGGAAAAUCAACUUCCCCCUCCUUUAAUAUCGCUUGUGAAAAAAAAAUGUACAAAUUUAACUGAACUUUUUUGUUUUUUUCUGUUUCUAGGUCACCAAUUAAACUCCAAAAAACAAAGAAAGAUUCAAUGUUUCAUAUUAAUUUUUUGUUUUUUAUCUCUACCAUUGAAAGCAAGCAGGAUUUCUUCUAAGAGAAAAAAAAAAAAAAAAAAAAGUGAAUCCACUUAUCACCGUAAACAGUUAAAACUGAAGAACUCUGUGGACCAAAAAGAAAAUUUUUCUGUCAGCCGGAAGGCCCAAAACCUAUAAAUAGUUAGAAACCUCGAAUUCGAUAAAAAGAGAGAGAGAGUUGCAAUGCCGUUGGGGAAGUAUUACUGCGAAUACUGCGACAAGGAAUUCCAAGACACCCCAUCCGCCAGGCGACGCCAUCUUCAAGGUCUCCAACACCUCAGAGCCAAAGCUCAAUGGUACGACUCCUUCAAAGGUAUAUAAAUACAACCAUUAUCUUCUGCUUUUGAGCUUUUCUUUAAGUCAUUUUCCUUUGCUUUCUCAGCUACCAAGCAUCCCUCUAUGCAUUUCUAUGUAUAAUCACAACUCUGUUUGCCGUUGAUUGCAGAUCCCAGUCAUGCUUAUACGGAGGGCUUGACAAAAGGGGUUUGCAACCGCUUUGUAAAAACGGUAUCGCUUUCUCCUUAUCGCAUUUUCAUUGAUUACCCACGUGAUUUCACUACUACUACUAUAAUGGGUUGGAUCCAGAUUUUGAUUUUUCCUUUAAUCAACCCAAUUAAUUUGGUCAGGUGUUGACUCUGUUGAAUAAUGUGUUGGAGGCAGAGUUUGCUUUGAUAGUAUACUUGGUUUUGAAUUGAUUUUGGCUUUGGAUUUAUAUGUUUUGGUUUCUUGUUUAUUGUCAAUUUCUUUUUCUUUGGCAUGGAUUGUAGGGAUUUUGCCCAUACGGGGAUUCUUGUAGAUAUCUUCAUCCCAAGAACAAUCAGCAGAAUAUGGUUACUCAAGGGGCACCAGGUAAAGAUACCUGAAAUUGAAAACAAUGCCCCUUGUGUUUUUUUUCUUCUUAAUGUGAGGGAGAAGGAAUUAAAUAUGUUUUCAGUAUCUAAUUCAAGAGUUGGAAUGUGUUGACAGGUUUGAUUGAUAAUAAUCAGUCUUCAACUUUUCAAGAGAACCAGUUGGUGGGGGGCAGCUCUUUGCCAGGUAACUUGAAAUGAUAUGCUGCUUUAGACUUGAGACAGUUGGUAGGUGACCAUUGCUGUCUUAGUUUUUGUUUUUAACAGAAUUUAUUUCUUCCUUUUGAUUCACAGAUGUGGUGGUCAGAGAUAGCAUGGGAAUGUCAUGGGGCAAUCUACCUCCAUCUCUAAUGCCUCCUCCAGAGGGUGGAUAUCCGCCGCUUCCUUUUGUGGACUGGGGAUAAGUCCUCUAUGUCUUUCGGACGCCAUUUAUCUAGCGCUUGUGCUACCGAUACAGAUCCUUAUCUAGUUCCUGAUUUCUUUCUUUUGAUCUAGUUGACAUGUAACAUGUUACUAGUAAAGUUGUAUGAUGAGAUAUGGAUUGUCAUCAAGGCUUGUAGGCUUGUAGCUUGUGGUUUAUAGUAUUGACUAAAACAUUUCCUUCAUAUAAUUCUUCUACUAAAGAGAAUGUGUUGUGUCUUGUGCUAUAAAGUUCAUUUUUUCACUCACAUGGAUGGCAAGCUGCUUGUUUUGUCUGAAUUGUCCAACUGUUUAUGCUCUAAACUUUUGGAAUGCCAAAUAAUAUUUAGAGAAUGCUAAACCCUAAACCCUAAACUCUCUCCUUUUCUCAUCCUGCUAUUUGUUGUGCUUGUAGUGUUUGCCAUAUUUUUGUUUCAAAAUAAACACUACGGUUCCACAAAACACAUUACUCGUGUACAUGUUUUUUAAACCAUGUUCAUCAAUUCCUGCCCAAAUUAUAGAGAUCCAUUGCCUUCCCUUAUAAUCUGGCCAAAAUGUGAUAUUGUUGAAAAGGUAAUGCGUAUUUGUGUAGAUGUAACUACACAAUUUUAGAAAACUCAAGAAACUACAAACUAGAAGAUGAAAUGUCGGCAACACAAAAAAAAAAGAAAAAAGUAAAGAAUAUUCUAGAUGAAGCCACACACUUGUGGCCGGAGAAAACAACAAGGCGGUAGAACAUGAUGGCUAAACAAUAGCUACAAAAAUAAUAUUGUACAAUAUAGAAGUUUCUAGUAAGGGCACUUCCAGCCUUUUGCCUGGGCAGGACAGGGUUUAUCCCACAAGAAGGCUCCAACGCACAAAGGCAAGCCUGGACAAGGCUUGGGGCCCACUAAUCUGGGCAAGCCCUCAGGCACAGUCAGCCAAUGUUGUUGCAUGGGCAAUUGAUGUAAUGCUGCCGUCGGCAAUCAAUUUAAAUAACAAAAAAUUGAAGGAAAAAAAGAAGGGAAAAAAAAUCAUUUAUUUAUUUUAUUUUAUUAUAAAUAACUAACUAUAUUCUUUACUUCUCAUACCAAAACUCUAUAUAAAUUCAUCUCUUUAUAUCUCAUGUGAAUAGUGGUUGCCUUUAAGUUGCCAUGACAAUGGGUGGAAACACAACAAGCCUUUAACAAAGGAUGCCACUAUUCAUGUGAAUAGUAACAGCCUUACCUCCAAUUACCCUUUGUCAUGACAAAUGGGUGGAAGUGCUCUAAAAGCCACCACAAAAGGGACUAGAAAAAGAAGCUAGUCGGUGGACUUGUUGCUGUUGGCAAAGAUGCCUAUAAAUAGGCAUGCAACCCACAAUGGGAUGUGGAGUCAACAAAAAGAACUCCCAAACGAUGUAAGGGUCAACUAAUACAAGUCCCAAUCUAUGUGGGAACAAGCUACCCAAAUCUAAGCUAGUAAGCUAGCAACCUAAACUAGCUAGCUAGCUAUCUAGCUAAUCAACUAAAGGUGGUGGGAGUUAAUCACUACAACACCCAACCCAAUCCACGAGGGAGCUACAUAAGCUACCCAACCUAUGGAAGAAGCUUGAAGACGAGAGGUCAAGCUAGUGCCAAAUAGCCCAAACUAAUCUAAAUCAAGUGUGGUUGCCAAUAAGCCAAUAAGUUAAGAAGGAGGCCAAUCACCCUACAUCAAGCUUUGUACUAUUCUCCUCCAAUGUAAUAAAAUCACUUUGUUAAACUAUUGUCCCAUUUUUCUAAACCCCUUCACCCAAUAAUCUAACAAGUGGUAUCAGAGUGUCACUAAAUCCCUUCACACAUAAACCAACAAUGAUAUCACAAACACUCAUAACAACACCACCUAAAUUCCAACAGAUAUCUUCCUUAGAAUUCAAAUUUCAUCAUCCAAACGCAACAAAUGCACGUCUCAGUUGCUCUCCCAUUCCACGAAUAUGAAAUUUAAUUUAGACAUUGUUUGCUAAAGAUUCAUUCAACAUUCAAUAUUGCAAGAAGGGAUUAUAGUUUCGUACACCAAAAUAGGUAUAUAACAUUUUGUUUCCUUGGAAGUUGAAACCAAGAAAGAAAAAACUCUAGGGAAUUAAGAAGAGAAGAGCUUUGUCUUCAUGUAGCACCUAAUCUUGUUUUGAAGAACACGAGAAGAAAUGAAGGAGGUUGUUACACUUGGAAGUUGGAACUUGAAGGUUGAAUUUGGGAUGGGAGUGAGAUGUGGCCGGCCCACAAUAUAUGGACGCGCCAAAGAAUAUGCCAUAAAAUGCAAGUGCAAAUAAUGAAUUAUGAAAGUUAACCUAGGAUUUGUUUGGUAAUGCUUAUACCAAACAAUACAAGAAAGGCACAGUUGAGGUGAGAAUGAAACUAAUGCCUAAUUCUGUGCCAAGAGAGAAGCCAUAACUUCAGAAAGUGAAGCAGAAAAUGGAGAGACAUAAGCCAUGAAUCUUGGGACUGAAUCACUAAAUGGACGCUGUUUGACAAAUGACUUUUAAAAUCCAAUCCGAAAAAUAAUUUUAAACAAAGCAGAAAAAUAAAAUAAUUCAGGUGUUAUGAAUAGAUAUACGUAUAAUAACACGAGUAAUCCCAUAUGGUGGUGCGACGGUCAUACCAAAGAGUUUCUCGUUAUUUACGGGUCAUUAUCUACUCCUAUAUUGAAUUGAUAUGAAACAAGUGUAGUUGAAUUGAUAUGCUGGACCCUUGAGAAUACUUUCCUAUUUUCCCUUUAAAACCCCAAAGCAAAUUCCCUCUUUGACUAAGCCGCAUGUUACUUCCUUUUGAGAAUAGGUCUUAGUUUUUCUAAUAUUCCUAUUUUUCCUUUCCUUCCUAAAUAAAUAUUAUCUUCCUUAUUUUUGGAGGAGUCCCUUGGCCUAUAAAUACAAAGCGUUAACCUAAUAGCCAGGGCAUCUUUUUCCACCAUCGUCUUCUCUACCAUAUUUUUCCACCAACUUUCAUUCAACCAGAGAAAUAUCAGAGGAAGCCAAGAAUUUGCUGCUGCAUUAUUUGAGGAGCUUUUGAAGGUGUUCCUGUGAAGAUUCUGAAGAUCAAGUCCAUCGGCCAAAUUGGUUUUAUGACAAUAAUUCUCUUGUUUAUAUUUUCUUCUGUCAUGAACUAAUUUCCCUUGCUAGGGCUACGAUGUAGCCUAACCUUGAAUACUUAAUUUCUAUCGUUAUAUUAAUUUCUGAUUAUUAUCUCAUGUUGAGUAUUUGUUACUGUUCUUAAUGAUUUAAAUAUCUAGCUAAUAUUUAAUUGAUGAUCCAAGCGGAGACCGAGAGGAGAUGUUUGGUGUUUGCUUCUUGUAACAAAUACCAUGACUUGAAUGAGUGCCCGAGAGGGACUAACAUGACUCAUGCAAUUUUCUUGUAGGUUCUCAUAGAACUUAAUGGGUUCUUGGUUUUCUAAAUCCGUUGCUCGAGAGAGAAUGGGUUGUUAAUUGAGAAUACUUUUGGUUGAGCCCGAGAUGGGAUAUCGAAUGAAUUAGGAGAAACCAACUGUCAACAUGGAUAGUAAUUAGGGUUAAUUGGCUAUAAGAAUUAAGUAGAAUUGGUUAUGGUGAAGUCGGAUGCUCUAGUGUCUCAUCAUCUUAAUUUUCUAUUGUUAAUUAAAUUGUUAUUUUUCAUAAUUGUUUUAGUUUUCUUAAAAUUAAUCAAUCUUCUUAAUCAACUGUUCAAAUAAACUUAUGCAUUAAUCAUAAUUAGUAGUUAAUAGGAAAUUACAGUCUUCGUGGGAACGAUACUCUACUUAUUUCUAUAUUACUUGUAUGGAUUGUGCGCUUGCAAUAAUUUCACAACAAAAGGCAACUCAAAAGCCUGUGUUACAAACAUCACAGUGAGUGACUCAACCAUCAAGAAUUCAGACAACGGCGUUCGGAUCAAAACUUGGCAAGGCGGCUCCGGCAGUGUAUCUGAAGUAACCUUCAAGGACAUCCACAUGGACAUAGUUCUAAAUCCUAUUAUCAUAGACCAGUUUUACUGCCUCAGCAAAAAAUGCCCUAACCAAACUUCAGCACUAAUGAUAAAUAGUGUUCGCUUCUCAAACAUUAAGGGCACAUAUGACAGUCGAAAGCCUCCUAUGCAUCUUGCUUGCAGCGACUCAAUGCCAUGCAAAAAUCUCACCCUUUUGGGCACAGACUUGGUUCCUGCUCAGGGAGGGGCUUAUUUGGAUCCAUUCUGCUGGAAAGCUUUUGGCCCUAAGGACACAUUUUCCACUCGACAAGUCCCAUGCUUGAUGAAGGGUUACCCCAAAAUGUUGCAACAUGAUUUUGACAGAUCAUGUUUUUAGAAUUUGGGUUACUCGAAAAAUAGUGUCUCCAAUAAAAUCAUUUGGACCACAUCUUUAACAGAAGCGUAGAGGCAGAAUAUCCCACCUUUAUUAGUGAUGUGGUCAUCAACAGUGAUUCGUGUAACAUUACUGGUUUAUCUUCCAACCAUUUUCAGUAACUUUGAAAGUGGUUCAUGUACUCGGUAACUUUAAGAUGUGUCUCUAAUGAGAAAAGUGGUCUUUGGUCUUCUAAUUACUUUGAUUUGCCGGCCCAUUUCAGAACUCAUUGCAAAUCUCCAAGAAUUUCUUAUUGGAUGAUAUUAUUAUACGACGUCUUUAUUUAGUUUUGUGAAAAUAUAAAUUAUACAUUAAUUAUUUAUGAUGACAAAAUUAUGCCUAUUAGCAUCACUUGUUUGUGAGCACAGAAUUUUGGUUUUGUCCUUACCCUUUUUGUUCUUUUCUUUCUUAGCUGCCUUGUAAAUUCUGUGAUUCUUUCAUGAAGUCUUAGCCUAUAACAUAAACAAUUGCAGCCGCGCGGUUAUACUCUAUAAAAACCAUAAUCAGAAUUUCUCUUUUUUAAUUACUUUAAUUAUUGUUUACUUAGUGAAUAAUUAGUAUUUAAGAAUUUUAUUAAAUUUAAAUUUUUUAAAAACUAGAUACUAUUUAUUAAGUAAUAUCAUUUAUGAUGUUAAUUAAAAUAUUUAAUACUAAUUAUUCACUAGAGAAAUAAUAGUUAGAACAUAAUUACUAACUAGCCUCUCUGCACGCGCUUCAGCGCGUGCGAGAGGUUUUUUUAAAAAAAAUUUAAAUUUAUUUUAGAAUUAAAAAAGAUAAUGGAUAUUUGUGUUCCAUAAAAAUAGGACCCAUUAUUUGAAUUUUCUUUUAAUUUUAAUUUUUUUAAUACGAAAAAUUGUGAAUUUACCAUAUUAUCCUCAUUUAAUUAAUAAUUUCAAUUCUUAAUGUUUGCAUUAACCAAGGGCAUUUUCUGGUAUUUUGAAUGUUUCACCAUUCUUUGCCUUUUGCUUUAUAUAUAUAGAUGAAAGGAAUUAAAUCAAGGCUAAGAUAUAAUUUAAUUACUGAAAAGAUUUUUUUUAUUUUAAAUUAUUGACCUAAAGAUACUAAUCGCUAGACGGUCUUUUUUUCCCACGUGGCGCCUAAUCGCUAGACGGUCUUUUUUUUAUUAAAAAAAAAUCGUAUAGCCGAACGGCUAUACUCCGUGUUUUAAAUUUUUUUUAAAAAAAUAGACUUGUGUUGAAACGUGGCGCCUAAUCGCUUGGGGGUCCUCUUUUUUAUAUUAAAAAAUGGUAUAGUCAUUCGGCUAUACUCAGUCUUUUUAUUUUUAUUUUUUAAAACGUAUAGCCGCUUGGCUAUACUAUUUUACACGUGGGCACCUAGGCGCUGUGCGUUUGCUCUGUUUUUAUUUUAAAAGAAUAGUAUAGCCGGUCGGCUUUACUCCUUUUUUUAAAAAAAAUUUAUUUAUAAAUUGUCUUUAAUAAAUAGUAUAGACGUAAUACAUUCGUGUUCUAUACACGUCUCACGUUUUUUAAGAAGCAAACGUACAAUAGUUGUAUUAUACAUAUACGUACGCAUUUCUAACUUUUAAUACACUUAUUUUUUAAGACACACAAAAUUCACGUAUUAUACAAAUAAUUCUCACAUAUUAUUGAAUAAGAAUAACAUAUGUUAUAAAAAAUAUAUUGAAAUAUUAUAUAGUGGAAUAUUAAUAUCUACUUUGGAUAUGUUGAAACUAGCAAAUUAUUUUUUAAAUUAUUUUUCAUUAAAUAGUAUAGCCGUUCGGCUAUACCUUGAUACCACUAUUUCUUUAAAAUAGUAUAGCCGGGCGGCCAUACUUAUUUUGCCUAAUCGCGAGAGGAUCUUGUAAAAAAAAACUAGUACAGCCGCAGGGCUAUACUCUGUGUUUUCAAUUUCUUAAAAAAAUAGACUUGUGUUGACACGUGGCGCCUAAUCGCCGGGGGGUCCUCUUUUUUUUAUAUAUUAAAAAAUGUAUAGCCGUGCGGCUAUGCACAUUUGGAAACUGUUAAAUCCGAGCUAGACUGCAGUUUAUUUUCAUUACCUGUUUAAUUAUACAAUUUAAGUAAUUGCACAUUUGCUGUCAAACAGACAGAACCUGGCUUCUACCUAUUAAAAAGGUUACUCAAGAACAGUAAAAAAUUGAAGGAGCUUUUCCUAUAAAUAGGCAAAUCUUAUGUUUUGGUUCUAUUCAAAAUCAAGCUUAAGCUAAAAGAUAUGAAAGUCUCUCAGAUAUUUGUUCCCCUCUUCAUUGUCUUGUCAGUUCUUAUAAUUCUUGCCAUUCAAAAUACAGUUCAUGCAGCUAAUGUACACUUUCACAAGCUACCUAGAAAAUCAGAAUCACCCCCACAUUCAUCAAAAAUCACCCCCAUCACAUUCAUCAAAGUCGGAAUCACAUAAAUCAAAAUCAAAAUCAGCAUCACAUAAUUCAUCAAAAUCAGCACCACAUUCACUUCCACCUGGUGUGGUUGCUUGUGAUGCCAAGGUCUUCAGCGCACGGGGCGUUUGGUGCCGCAGGGGACAGUGUCACUGAUGACGCACAAGCAUUCAGUAAGGCUUGGGAUGCCGCUUGCCAGAUCGGAAGAUCCUCUGUAGUUUUUCUUGUUCCUGAUAAAUAUUCCUUCCUUACACAAAGUAGCCUAUUCAAAGGGCCUUGUAAAUCUUACCUACUGUUUCAGGUAAUUAUGUGACAUUAUGUAUGUUACUAAUUAAAAAGAAGAAAUUUUUUUUGCAUAGAUAUAUAAAACUGAUGGAAUUCUUGUCUGAAACGUGAAGCUUGAUGGGAGGAUUGUGGCUCCUAGUGGACCCAAUAAAUGGUCAUCAAGAAAUAGUAAAUCAGAUUGGAUGGACUUCUAUGGAAUCCAUGGCAUGACAAUGCAAGGAGGUGGGCUUAUAGAUGGAAGAGGAGAAAAAUGGUGGAAUCUCCCCUGUACUUCAGUAAGGUAGCUUUUUCUAUACUAAUUAAUAAAACGGCAGAAAGGAAGUGGCUGUGAUCAUACCCCCAACGUAAGGCAUAAUCACAACUCGAAAUUCGAUUUUUGAAGAAAAUGAAAGGCGAUUGCACCGCGUGCAUUUGAAUGAAGAAACUGUUGUAAUGUUCCGUUUUGUACUUUUUCAUAAUGCAGGCCCUAAGAUUUUUGAAAAGCUCUAACUUGAAAGUUCAAGGGAUCGGUGUUCAAAGCAGCCCCAAGUUCCAUGUCUGCUUUGAUGAUUGUCAAAAUGUCCGAUUAGAGUUCAUCAGCAUAAACUCACUGGGUGAUAGCCCGAAGACCGAUGGAAUUCACAUAGAGGAUUCCAACAAUGUGGAAAUACACCAUUCAAGAAUUUCACCUGGUAAAUAAUUCUACAAGAUCUUAUUAAUUCUUCAUUAAUUAAGUACCAGUAAGCAAAGCUGAUUAGUUCUCAACAAAUGAACUAUGCAGGGGAUAAUUAAUUACCUAAACCCCCUAAUGCAGGUGAUAGUAGUCAUGAUGUGGACAUAACGAAUGUAACUUGUGGUCCAAGUCAUGGAAUAAGUUCCUCUUAAUUUAGUUAGGCUUCUAUUCCAGUAAUUAAAAGAUUAAUUAAGAUUUAAGACCAAAACUUAGUGACUCAUAUGAUUAUUCUCUUCUUGGUUUGCAGCAUUGGUAGUUUGGGAAGAGACGAAUCUGAAGCCUGUGUGAAGAACAUCACAGUGAGACUCAGUGAUCAAGCAAUCUGAUAAUGGCCUUAGGAUCAAAACAUGGCAUAGUGGAUCAGGAGCUGUGGCCAAAAAUAACCUUCAACAACAUAGAAAUGGACAAAGUCAAAAACCCAAUUAUCACCAACCAAUACUAUUGCCUCAAAGACCACUACCCCAAUCAAACUGCUGCCCUCAAGAUAUAUGAUGUUUCACAUGCACAGCACAUACAAUGUGAAAAACCCACCUGUGCAUCUUAAUGCAGUGACUCAGUUCCAUGUACAAACAUCACACUUUCUCAGGUUCAACUGCACCCAGCAGCGCUGCUCAGGGAGAUGGUGAGUUGAAUUUGGAACCCCCAUUUUGCUGGAAGGCUUACGGGAUCAUCGAAACACGUGUCACGAGGCCACUGAGGUCCUGUUUGAUGGGUGAACUUCCUAAAAAUAAUUUGUUCUUCAACAGGAUUCUAAUAAGCGGUGUUGAAGAUGCUGUCACGGUUAAUUUGGUCAUAGGUCUGGACGAAAUCUGAUCCUGCAAUGUGCUAAAGUGUUCAUUGCAAGGGAGUUGUACUUAGGAAAAUGAAUGUUAUAGAACAAACCUUUUCCUUUUUUGAUUAUUAGGAAAACAAAAACUUUUCCAAACUGAAGUUAUCCAAAUUAUGGGCGGUAUCAGUUGAAAAUCUGAACAACCCCCUUCUCACUUUCAUGAAUAUAUGGUUAAUUGGAUUCUUCAAAAUUUUACUUUUUACUUUUUACCUAGAUAGCAACAAGAUAAAAACUGUAGAACACCUUGAGAGGCCAUGCAGUUGACUGGAGAACAGAUGGUAAAUAACUAAUAAGGCCCUUUGGAAUUAAAAAAAAAAAAAAAAACUUAUUGUUCAAUUCGUCCAAUCAGUUUUCUGUCCCCAUUGGCCAUGCUUAGGCUGGUCAACUUUCUUAGAAUAAUAGACGGGCUGAUUUACAUAAUUUAUAAAUCAUGUGGGCCUUGGGUGGGUUGCCAUAGCCUGCUAGCACUGCAAGCAAAUCAAAAUUCUUGGCGUUUCUGCGAAGCUCUGGACCUGUUCUUUUACUUAUUUCAUUGCUGCUUUUUUAUACUUAAAGAUGUGCCUCAUUCACCUCAACAUUUUGAGGACUGAAAUUGUCUGAACCAAGUGACCCUAAUUCAGACAUUCAAGAGAGAAUGUCGACAUAAAGAAGUGUCUGCUUCAAGAAGAUAAAAGGACCUCACCAGCAGCCAGAAGCUACUAUUGGUUUGGUGGGUCAGUGGAUUGAGUUUCUUCAAAGCAUGAAGUUUGCUUUUUGUUGACCUCAUAAUAAUCCCAAAAGAAAUAUGAUUUCAUUUCUGUCUUUUUCUGUCUUCUUCAAGACUUUCAAUCCCAUCAUCUAUAAUGCUUGGCUGCAAGCUAUACGUAUGUAGGGAAAACCUUCCAAAAAUGGCUAAUAUCAUUGCUUUUCUUUUUUCAGGCCUUUGCAUCAUGCUAUACAACUUCUUUUUUAUUUUAUUUUUAUUUUUUACAAGCAAUUUUAUGGAGGGGGAAUUAAAUCUAGAAUCUCGGGUGUAGAGGCUAUUGGUUAUUACAAACAAAACCAAAAUGGGAGUUUUUGAUACAAGCAAUAUUGGGGAGGAGAAAAUCAAACCUAGGACCUCGGGUGAAGGACAAUUACAACUCCCUUGUCAUGACUCAUGCUAGCUAUACAACUUCCAGUUUCACAACAAACUGCCAUUUUUCUGAUGAAAUGGGUGAAUAUAAUCAUGGAAAAACCAAAAUGGGAUUCAUUUAAAGAUCCCAAAGCAACAACUUUUCCUGUCCAAAAUGGGUGCACAUAAUCAUUCAAAUGGUAAACCACUCAAAAAUCUCUUUAAUCCACCAACCUUUUCUUUUCUUCUCUUGGCCGGCUAUAGCUCCUCGCAUGCAGACCCUUCUUCACAUUGUGCCCAAAAAGCCAAAGCAAGCUCUCUCUAAAUGGAACUGGUCGGUCUCACAACAUGCAUUAUUGAAUGGUGUUAGGCGUGGACUGACCUUCAAAAGUAGCUUCCCACUAAAACUUUCGAAGUAUGAAAAUGACGUACUUAUUUCUAAGUAUGAAAUGGACGUACUUACACUCACUCUGCUGCAGCAAUAGCCUCUUAUCCCAAAGAUUGUAGACUUGUAGCGUUAUCUCUUGCAAGUUGUUUGGUGCUCAAAGUGGUCACGUACUGUAUAAAUCUUAACUCUUAUGGUGCAUUCAACUUCCUAUCGUGGGUGCCUUGCUUCUACAGUUCUAUUUUGACCCUACAAUGCCUAGCUGAUGACACUGACAAUUUGCCUGUCAAAAUCCUUGUUGCCAGUUGCACUCUUUGAAAUCCAACAGCAUGAAUUUGGCUAUAAACUCUAGGACAAUAGAAGCACUUUAUUUCUAUAAGUAGCUAAAAGUUCUUUCAUUCCAUUUGCUCCACAUGCACCUAAGUGAAAGCAAAUGCUGAACAUGAUAUUUGCUUGGGUACUUGUUAUUCAAAUUUUUUUCUUCUCUUUUUGUUUCUUCUUUCCUCCGAUACACGGCAGCCUUCAAAGUACUGACACUAAACAUGAUAAGGGUUUGCAUCUGAUGUCUCGAAUUUCAUUGCCACCUUCUCCGGCACCAGAGGCUGUUAGCCCAAGCUACAAUCCUACCACUAUUUUCAAUGUAAGAUCUUAUGGUGCCAUUGGGGAUGGUGUUACUGAUGACACACAAGCAUUCAAGCUGGCUUGGGACACGGCUUGUCAAACUGAAGAUUCAGAAGUUCUUGUUCCUAAAGGUCAUACCUUUAUGAUACAGUCUACAAUAUUCACAGGGCCAUGUAAACCUGGCCUCAAAAUGCAGGUAAUUAAUCUAGGUCUCCUCUUAAAGGCUGGAACUUUAUUUAAAUUUGUUGGAAUUUUAGGAUGUGUGAUGAGUGUUUAUGAUACCAUUGUUGGUUUAUGUGUGAAGGGGUUUAGAACAAUGGGACAAUAGUUAAACAAAGUGAUUUUAUUACAUUGGAGGAGAAUAGUACAUAGCUUGGUGUAGGCUAAUUGGCCUCCUUCUUAGCUUAUUGGCUUAUUGGCCACCACACUUGAUUGAGACUAGUUUGGGCUAUUUGGCCCCAGCUUGAGCUCUUGUCUUCAAGCUUCUUCCAUAGGUUGGGUAUCUCACAUGUAGCUCCCUCGUGGAUUGGGAGUCGUACACACCACCUUUAGUUGAUUAGCUAGAUAGCUAGCUUUGUUGCUUAGUUUCCUAGCUUUUCUAGCUUAGGAUUUUAGGCAGCUCUUGGCUCCCUAAUAGAUUGGGAGUUCUUUUUGUUAGACUCCACCUUGUUUCAUUGCAUUGCAUGCCUAUUUAUAGGCAUUCUUUGCCGACAUCACCACGUCCACCAACUUGGCUUCUUUUUCCUCCGGCCACAAGUGUGUGGCUUAUACUAGAAACUUAUAUAUUGUACGAUAUUUAUUUUUGUGGCUAUUGUUUAGCCAUCAUGCUCCACCGCCAGAGUCUAGCAACAUGAGUAUUCUUGAGUUUUCUAGAAUUGUGUAGUUACAUCUACACAAAUAUGCAUUGCUUUUUCAACAAAAUUCUUUGAGAGACAAAGAUAAAUUUGGUAACUUUUUUGUCUUACCGAAAUCUAACGUGUUCGUUGACUGGUUGAUGGGGAAGAUUGAUGGGACACUAAUGCCACCAGAUGGACCUGAUUCAUGGCCAAGAAAUAACAGCAAGAGACAAUGGCUUGUUUUCUACAGAAUCAAUGAAAUGUCAAUGCAAGGUACUGGUGUAAUAGAUGGGAGAGGAGAGAAAUGGUGGAACCUUCCUUGCAAGCCGCACAAAGUAAGCAUCUUUGUUAUUCUUUCACAGCACCAUUGGUUUUAUUUUAUUACUCUUAGGCCAAUUUCUCACAAUGUUCUUUUAUAUAUAUGCAAUGGAACAGGGUUUUACUGGAACAACACAGCCUGGUCCUUGUGAUAGCCCAGUUGUAAGUCACAGUAAAAAAAUUUCAGAACUUGUGAAGUAAGCAUUGGUCAACUUUGGUGGAAAUAUUGUUUACAUAUGAACUUUAUGUUGCAGGCCAUAAGAUUUUUCAUGAGCUCUAAUCUGAGUGUGAUAGGACUCAAAGUUAAGAACAGCCCCCAGUUUCAUUUCCGGUUCGAUAACUGUCAAAACGUCUACAUAGAAUCACUUAACAUAAAAACACCUGCUCUAAGUCCCAAUACAGAUGGAAUUCACAUAGAGAACACAAACAAUGUGAAACUAUAUAAUUCAGUCAUCUCCAAUGGUAAUUACUAAUUACACAACAGAAGCUUCCAAUUUGUUGUCCAUCGUGCAAUCUCUCAAAUGCUUACCUUGCUCUUUGGUUAUUGACACUUCAUGUAGGUGAUGACUGCGUAUCAAUUGGAGCAGGUUGUUAUAAUGUGGAGAUUAGGAAUAUUACUUGUGGUCCAAGUCAUGGAAUAAGGUACAUCCACUGCUUCAAAGCACAUAUGGAUGGUUUCUAAAGUUCCAUUAUUCUCCAAGAUUCACUCAACCCAAAUCCUCUUUCUUCCCAUGUAGCAUUGGAAGUCUUGGAAUUCGCAAUUCUCGAGCAUGUGUUUCGAACAUUACAGUUAAGGACUCAAUCAUCAAGCACUCUGACAAUGGGGUUCGAAUCAAAACUUGGCAAGGUGGAUCAGGGUCUGUGUCAAGAGUAACAUUCCAAAACAUUCACAUGGACACCGUUCGAAACCCGAUUUUGUUAGAUCAGUACUAUUGCCUCACCAAGAAAUGCCCUAACCAAACCUCUGCAGUUCACAUAUCAGAUAUUUUGUACUCAAAGAUAAAAGGUACAUAUGAUGUGAGAAGCCCACCUAUGCAUUUUGCUUGCAGCGACUCCAUGCCAUGCACAAAUCUCACUCUCUCUGAAGUGGAACUGCUUCCUGCCCAAGGAAAAUUUGUGUCAAAUCCAAUUUGCUGGAGUGCAUAUGGAACAGUGCAGACCCUUACAAUUCCACCAGUUUUCUGCUUGUUGGGGGGCACUCCAGAAAUGUUGCCACAGAAUGGUAAGGAAAGGUGUUAACCAAUCAAAAGUAAACUGAGAUACAUAUCAAAGAAAUAUAGCUAUUCUAAACGAAAUUACAAGUAAUUAAGAAGUCCAAGAGUCUGUUAUAUAUGGUAUAUGGUGUAGUAGAAUGCUUUAUUUUUAUGUUUUGUUCUUAAUAUCCAAGAGCUUGUAGAUAAGCUAGAAAUUUGGUUUGUACUUAAAUCUAGUGCCUUUUCAAUCUCGUUUAAAUCCAAGUUGUGUUCAGUAAUCAAAUUAGUAAACAUCAAAAUUAUAUUCACAUAAUGUGGAGUUUACUUCUAACACAGCUGGCGUUUCAUUACGGCUUCGUAACUUAGCAAUUGUUGCUUGUUUUUCAUAUAUUGUAGUGUUGGGUUGAAUUGGUGCAAUCAAGUUUGUUGUGGCUUUUACAUGAGUUAUCUAAUUGCUCAUAGUAUUUUAGGGGAAGUAAAACAAACGUCUACCCCAAAAACACAGAGAAAAAUACAUUCUCAGUGAAAAUGUGACAGCAAAACCUGUUGCAACGGUGUUUCGUGGGUUUUAGUAGCGAAAGAGACCGUCUUUAAGCGCUGCAAAAGAAUGUAUUAUUCGCAGUUUGAAAGACCGCCGUUAAAAGUCGGCAGAAUAUUGAACGCUUCUCCUUGUGCAGAAAUUAUGUAGUUUUGAGAUGCGCAAAAAUAAAAAAAUUAUUAUGCUAGAAAUAACAAAAUUAUGUAGCCUUCACAGAACAUACCCUGCAUAAUGCAUACGAGAUCAUAAUUCGGAAACAAAAUUAUUAUACUAUAAAUAACAACCAGAGCGUAUUAAUGAAAGAGCAACAGAAUCAUGACAACCAAAUAAUUUAGAGGCCAAAAGCAUAACUCUCGACGAUUCAUCAUUCAUCAGAAGACACUGUGUCUGAAUUUCCCCUCUUGGGACAAAAUAAAACAAUAAGCUAGAAUUAUAUGAAUAAAAUUUGGAUAUUAGGAGUUGCAAUCCUAUUUUGCCAAUGUUACGAAGCGAAGCAAUGGAUGUGAAUGCCAAAAGAAAAGGGUGAGUCAUACAAACUAUCACUAAUAAACAUAGCAGUAGAGCAGAAAAAGGUACAUGCACAAUUACAAAAGAACUUUGUGGUCAUAAUUCAUGUCUGCAUAUGCCUGCCUGGGGGUGGGUAGGCAACAGCCUCCACUAGUUUAUAGUGAACCAUUGGACUUAUGGUGAAACUGGGUUGAAAAGGAAUUCAGCAAGAAAAUAAAAUGACAAAACCAAAAGUUGAAAGUUUACUUUCUUACAUAGGAUUUUAUAAAUUUCGAGGCCGUCCAUAUUGUUACAUACCCAAAAAAUUGAGCUUUACUCAUUAGUGAUGAAUGUUACUCAUUACAAAAUUCUUAAGUCAUUCGUUGAAAUUUUGACAAGUUACAUGAAGAGAGACGGACUUUCAAAAACUUUUAAGUCAUUUCUUAAAUUUUUGAGAAAUCAAACAAAGAGAAAGACAUACUUAAACAAUAUAUACUACCGGAAUAUGCAAGUUUUUUCUCUGCUCAGUGAUGUUUUUAGAUUGGUCCAUCUAAUGGGGGACCAUAGAGCACCAUUAUAACAUCUAGCAUAAUAGGUCAUACAGGACCACAUCACAUAUAUCUCUCGACAGAGAAAGCACUGACUUUUGGCAAUUCUAGAUGCAACCUCAGAGUGCCAAGUAAUUGCCAUACCCAUUACUAUGAAAAUAGUAGCGGUUUGUUAGUCAUUCAUUGUGCAUCAUACCUUAUCUCCACAGAGGAAAGUUUUUCUCCCACUCUUAUGAACUCAAGCAAUUGUUCUGCUCUCUUUUGACUUUCUUGCUCUGUUUUGGAUCCUCCCCUGUUUUUUGUAUAUGGCAAAUCUACUCAUUUGAUUUCUGUUUCUUCACCUUAUGUACUUUUUUCUUUUCUUUUAAUCCAAUAAUAUCACAUUGAAGGAGAUGCACAUAACACAAGUAUUAGCAAGCUCCAUGAGCAAACUGGGAUGUCAUUCACAUACUGGAUUGAAAAAUUUCGGCAAGUUACCGGAACCUGCUGGAAAACACUUAUGGAAAAAUACAUCACAAUUAAGAAUGUUCUUUCAAUACAGUUUCGCUUUGAUUACACUUCCUGAUUAUUCAAGCAUUUCCAUUUAUGAAGCGUUGAUCCACCUUAAUAAACGUGGCAACUUCAUACUAGCUUUUCGAUCAAGCUCUUUGGCAUACAGAUAUGGUUGGAUGAUGAUGGACUGCUAAUUUAAUGAAGUGAGCACCUCUAACAAGGAAGCAGCAAAUUGCAUUUGUGUGUCCUCAUCUAUGGUCAAGAACAGAGGCACAUGAACAAAGAGCGAUUUGAUCCCGUUUUGCUCUGCAAACCGAAGGGAAUGGUAGUAGACAUAGUUGCAUACAAAGCGGCCUGCAUCGUCUGAGGUCAUCACCUCAAAACCCUUCUUUGCCAAGGCCUUUGUUAUGUCCUCAACAGGAAGAGAAGUCUGCACAUAAUCAGAAGAAGAAAUAGUUCCAAGAUUGAGGAAAAUGAGGAACCAUUGUAGUCACAUACUCAAAUACAAAAUAGGACCUCUGAAUCAACCGUCAUGCAACCAUCAUGGAGGAAAGAAAUUUAAGGUAUAAAGUCAACCUAUUUUUCAAGACAACUUCAGUCCUUCAAGCAGGUAUUCUUCAAGUAAUCAUAAAAAAAUUUAAUGAUUUAUGAGGUGCAAGAGAAAGUACUUGAAAUCUUUAGGAGGCAUAUAAUGAAAAAUCAUGGCCACCCAGCCUACCUCUCGUAUAUGUGAAAUUCCACCAUCUGAAGGAAUAAUGGGGACUUUCUGCAAAACAUAUGAUAAAAGUUAACAAAAUCUGAAGAACUUCGAAGCUGAUGUCAAAUAAAAUCCCAAUUAACCAGAGACAACCCCUGCAAGUUCUAUCUAACCUGAGGCUUCCAUCCCAUCUCAUCAGGGCAACGAAAAGUAGCUUCAUUGACAGCUUGAUGCUCAAUAGCAAACCUUGUUGCACCACUAUUAACACCAAAGUGUACCUACAUAAUUACGGUUAAAAUUAAGAAAGGGUAAGACACAUGACACAUGAAUACAUCUGCGCAAGUACAACAAUCGUAGCGAUGAAAUGCUCUUGAACAGAUGUGAUGGAUAGUUCUGUUAUUUAUUAAAGUUCUAGUAAAAUCUUUAAUACAUGUGCACAAGCUUUUUCUCUAUAGAUGAUGUUGAUAAUGACUAUUUUCUAAAGUUUUAUGUGAAAAAAUUUCUUUCACAUAAUAGAAAAACCAGAUGGGAAAGAACCAAUCAUCAAAUCAAAUUCCUAUAAAUUCUUUGAGCUGUAUCCAGUUCCUAUAUGAACAAAUCAAAAGAACAUUGUUUAAAAGGAGAAAUGAUAAAUGAAUUUGAGUCCCAAGUUUUGAACCCAAACCAUGCUGAUAUUCUUAGAUAUGUAGGGGUCUUUAAAGUCUACUAGCUAGUUAUAUAUGCUUAGCAGACUAGCUUCUAAGGACAGAAAGAAAGGAACUUGAAAUAAAGUGUGAUCCAGCUUAGAAAAUGAGAAGCAAUGGACCAGACAUGAGAACAACUCACCCAAAUAAUUCUACUGGAAUUUGAAGAAUCCUGCUCGCUGAUAGCAGAUCGCAAUGUCUGGUAUAGGGGAACAACUGCUCCUUGUCCUGCAGUCUCAAGAAUGCUGCAACUUCCAAGAACCAGACCCUUUGGUGAACCCUUCUUCUUCACAUACUCUUUGAGAUUACUGACAAUAGUCUCAGUUGGAUUCUCUGAAACUCCAUGGAAUUUCUUAAAACCAGUCACAUGAAUUGUUACUGUUGAAGGUCCUUCAGACCCCAUUUAUGAGCUAUUAAUAUCUAAUUGAGGAAUGUGUUAAAGCAUCAAAUCGGAAGUAAUAUCUAAGUACCUGCAUCAAACUACCGGAAAUGAGUGAAAAAAAUGCAGAGGCAUAAACACAAGUACAUACAGAGUAAAGAAGUCUACGUCUACAAUCAGCAACCUGUCUAGGUUUAGCUCCUGCUGAGUUUACACCACUGAAAGUUUUUAUCUAUGAAACUCAUUGGUUACUUUAAAAUCCGAAAGCUGAUUCUUAACAGAUUCAUUAUAUCAAUGCUCUUCCUUUAAAUCAUGCUCGUAGCAUAGUAGUAGUUAAUACCAUAAUAUAACAGCUAAACAAUUAUAUGAAUGGAUACUGUUGAAACAGUUAAACUAUAAACAAUUAGCAACUGUCUGUCUAGCAAUUACAAUUUUAAUACUUGAUGAACCGAUCAAGUUCAGUCAGACCAAUCAAAGGACUGAAGCCCAUUUGUUUUCAUUUCUUUUAGAUAAGCAUCUUUAUGGAUGAGACUGCAUACACCAAUUUUUAUUCGAAAAACCAUAUCAAAUGCAAAAUUGAGAAAUCCCCAUGGCCAGAAACUCAGAGUCAGCAGUCACCACCAACAAGAGAAAAUGGCUCUGUAUGAAGGCAGACACUAAACUAACUGACAAACAAUAAAUUUUGUUAAUUGGAUAUAAAUUGAAAACUCAAUAUCCUGCAGUGCAUGAAGAUCAAAUAAAAGUGGAUAUCAGAUUGUACUAGACCCUCCAAAAAUUUAGCUCCCAAGACAAACCACACAGAUGAAACACUGGAUUUAAACAAAGCCAUCCGAACCCAAAAAAGUAAAACCAAAACGCGAAUUGGAAUCAGACUGAUGAGGCAUCCAGAUGAUGAUAUAAGUCAAAGACCCAGAAAUCUACCUUGAAAAACAAAGCCUUGGAAUUAAAACAUGCAAGAUUCUGAAAAUUAUAUCAAAAGAAAAAAGAAGAGCCUUUCUUGCCUGUAAUCUUCACAAGCCUCAACCACCAGUCUUAUCUGCUCAAGAUGAUUUAUUUACAACUGGUAAAGAUUCCAAGUGGAUUGAUUAUAAGAGAGAGAGAGAGAGG
Molecule: long non-coding RNA, 67606 nt
Filed under: Prunus persica (peach)
Lineage: Eukaryota; Viridiplantae; Streptophyta; Magnoliopsida; Rosales; Rosaceae
Description: long non-coding RNA (PPER_LNC006687)
Source: RNAcentral